Molecule: long non-coding RNA, 48544 nt
Filed under: Ananas comosus (pineapple)
Lineage: Eukaryota; Viridiplantae; Streptophyta; Magnoliopsida; Poales; Bromeliaceae
Description: long non-coding RNA (ACOM_LNC028648)
Source: RNAcentral
AAAGUAUGGGGGUUUUUUUGUAUAUUAGCCUUAAGUGCUAACCAUUGUGACUUAUCUUUGACUCUUGUAUACAUUUCGAGAGAGAGAGAGAGAGAGAGAGAGAGAGAGAGAAUGGCGAGUAGAGGGUUUCGAGUUCAUAGAUUUCUAAGGAGCUGCGAUUGGAUUCGUCUUCGCCCCAAUUUGAAUCGUGGAUUCUCUUCUGAUGCUGUUCCAUCCCAAUUAGAGGUGAGUUUUAUAUAUAUAUUUUUUCCUUUUUUUGUGAUUUUUUGGCCAAUUUGAUGAGAUUCUGAUUGCAAAAACUGUUGGAGUAAAAAUCCCGAUUUGGAUUUUUUUAUGAUCCCUUUUUUUUUUGACGGGAAAAGACUUUUUUUGAAUGAUCAAAGCUCAAAUUUUUGGGUUAAACGUAAAAAAAAAAAAAUGAAAACUUGUACAUUGGGGUUAAUUGCUUAGAUGUCACACUGCAAUGAGAUAUCUAAUGUUCUUAGUGGAUGAGCAAUUGUGGACUAUUACUGGAGCUCACACUGUUUAGUGCUUUGAUUCUAAUAUAUCUUGUAUUAGCUUUUUGAUUUGCUAAUUGUAACUUUUUUUUUGGAGGAUAUGUUAAUUAGUAACUGUUAUCCAAAAGAUUCAUCUAAUCAGAAGGAAAAAUGGUCCGGGAAUAAUCUUAACACCCUCACUCACAUGCAUGGUGUAGAUAAGGUAAUAUCAUGUCGCAUGCAUUGACAGAAGAGGUAACAGAACGGACGAAAAGACGUGUAUUUAAUCUAGCAAGUGAUAGAUGUGGGAAUUGAAUCCACGACCUAACUAAGGGGAUUUAUGAUUGACUUUGAUACCAGAUUACCCGCCAAGUCAAUCCGUUACGAAUCGACCCAGCGAUAAUCUUAUGAUUCUUACUGCCUAAUAUGAAGUAAAUUGAGAGAACGAUUUUCUUUUAAGUUCUUCAACAGUUUUCAAUUCAUUUAUUCUUUAGAGUGGUGCUUUUCUCUCUUAGGAUUUAUGUUGAUUCCUUUUUUUAUAUCCUGUGAAUACUUUGCAGAGAGUUGGAUUUAUAGGACUCGGAAACAUGGGGUACCACAUGGCGAAGAAUCUGAUAACGGCUGGAUAUAAAGUUACAGUUCAUGACAUGUAAGUAUAAUCAUCCACUGUUGUAUUAUUCAUGGCUUUCGUUGAACUAAUCAAAACUUGGUUUGCUAAUAAUCUUGCAUUUUAUACUCUAUACAAAAGCAAAACGAAGUAAUUAAAGGUAAUAAUUCAUUGUCGCAUUGUUAUGAAGCCUUCCAUUUUGAUAAAUGGUAGCUUAUGCAGGUACAAGUCUCUUCUAUAGCAUGAGUAGCUUCUCAAUUAGUGUUUUGGUCUAGCAACUGCUCUUCCAGAAAUAGAAGCAAUCUUAUUGGAUCGAGUUUCUCUUUCUUCUUGAGAAGAAUUUGUUUUUAUUGAUUAACCAGGGAAUAUUUACAAAAUUUUAUCUAAGCCUAAUGAUUGUAAUUUUUUGCAAUUUGAAUUUUGAGAGUGGACCGUCAAAUAAAAACUUGGAUUCUGAUGAUCUCUAGUAAUGAUAAUACCAUGAAGAAGUUCUCGGAAAAGGGUGUUCCGACAAAAGAAACUCCUUGUCAAGUUGCCGAGUCAAGUGAUGUCAUAAUCACCAUGCUGCCCACAUCGUCUAAUGUAAGUUAGUUUUGAUCUGUUUAUUUCUCUUUUUUCUUUUUGACUUGUAGAGGAAACACUUGCUGUACUUUGAUCAGUUGACUUCUGACAAAUAUUGAGGACCCUGUAAUGUAAUGCUAGACGAAUGCAGAUGUUAUAUUCUUGAACCAUUUUUCAGGUUUUGGAUGUCUACUUUGGACAAAACGGCUUGAUAGAAAGUCAAAAUCACUUAAGCCCCUGGUUAUUCAUAGACUCUUCUACAGUUGAUCCACAAACUUCAAGAAAGAUUUCAAUGAGCAUCUCAAAAUGCCAUCUAAAAGAAAAGAAAGGUAUUUUUAUUUGUAUGCUCCUACAGAAUGCUACCUAGUACUCUAUCAAAUAUUAUAAGACACCUAUAUAAGUAGCUUUAGAAUAGCAUAUUGAAUUUUCUCAUUUUUCAAAAUUUGCAUAUUUAAUUAUCUCAAGACAAGAAAUUGGUGUUAAAGCUAUUAGUUUGUUUGUGUGUUGAUCUGAUAUAUUUUUAUAUUCCUGCACCUUACCAAUUAAACACUACUAGUGGGUGUUACAAUAUGUAUCACAGCAGUUAGUACCAUAGUAGGGAAAAUGAAUAAAGUUAGCAACAUAUGUUGAGAGCUGCUCAAAUUUCUGGAAAUGUAUUGGCUUUCUAUAUUUUCUUUGCUACCAUUGAUGUGGUUUUAUUAUUCAGGCUAUGUAGAAAAGCCGAUCAUGUUGGAUGCUCCUGUCUCCGGAGGCGUCCCAGCUGCAGAAGCCGGAACACUUACUUUCAUGGUACUUCUUCUCCUUGGUCGCUAAAAAGUAAACAAAGGGGAGCUUAACAAAUAAAAUUUUACAAUUUGACGAAGGAUCUACACUCAAAACUUUAUGAAUAAAAGCGACCCUUUUAUUCUAGGUGGGUGGCUUAGAAGCUGCUUAUCUUGCUGCUGAACCCUUACUUCUAGCCAUGGGUAAAAGGACAAUCUAUUGUGGUGGGUCUGGAAAUGGUGCUGUAAGUCAGUUUCUCUUUCAUAUACUGAACUUUUUGUCUUUCAUCUCUCACUAGGUUGAUGGGAAAAAUGAGAUGCAGAAAAGAGAUUUCAUGAAACAGAAACUGUUGUAAACAGUUUGAUUCAUGAUUUACAGCUCCUCAAUAGAUUUAAAUUGCUUCCUCUGUAACCUCUAUGAAGAUGGGGGUGAAGGAUGAAAAGAGCUGUUAUAUACUUUCAUACAGUGUAGAUAUAUGCAAAAUUAAACUCUUUUUAAUACGAUCGAACUUGCUGAUUUGCAAAACAUGCCGCUUUGAGUUCUAACUCUAUGGAAGAUUUGCAUCAUUUGUCAUCUCCAGGCAGCAAAGAUAUGUAACAAUUUGGCGAUGGCAAUUAGCAUGAUUGGGGUCUCCGAAGCUUUUGCUCUUGGUCAGAACCUUGGAAUUAGGGCGAGCACAUUAACAAAUAUAUUCAAUUCUUCAAGUGCUCGAUGUUGGAGUAGGUAAAUAAUUACCUGCCUCUGUCCUACAUUUUGUAGCAAAUUAUUUGUCGCUGUCACUUGUUCUUAACAGGCUAUUUAACAGGAAGUUCCAAUUAAGUCAUUCUGAAUGACUUCCUCAAAUCUGUGUCAACCAUUUACAUUAUCCCAUUUAUUUUUUAUGAUUCUUGAGUUACAAUUUGGCAAUUUCAUGUUAAUCUGAAUAUCUUUCUUCUCUGGUAACUUUCACUCGCAUCACAACAUUAGACCUUCCACUGAUUUUUAUGGAUUUGGCUAGUUUUUGCCUUAUGCAAUUAGUUGUGAUUUGCAUAAGUGGAUUUGUCACUUUGUGUCAUUCUUGAAUGCUAUAUUCAGAAGUGAAGAACUUGAUCCCAUUUUGAAUUUAUAUACAUAAUUUCUUAAUUAAAAGAAAAUAUUUUUGAUGUUCACCAAAUUUGGCAGUGACACUUACAAUCCGGUUCCGGGAGUAAUGCCGGGGGUGCCUUCGUCAAGGAAUUACGAUGGUGGAUUUGCAUCUAAACUUAUGGUAUGGAGUAAAUAUCAUCUAGCUCUUUAACCAGUUUUUUUGUUACCAAUUGGAAAUCCUUCACAUAGAUAUUAUCGAGUCUAAGGUGCACUCUAGACCUAAAGCUGAGAGCCAAAUCCUUUAUCACUUCAUUUUUUUGUCGAAACAUACUAUCGCAAUGCAAAAUUGAUGCCUAACUUCCCAUUAUAUGAUGGUUUCAGAUAAUCUCUUCACAAAUUAGUCUGCUUAGUAAGCAUGCCAUUUUAUGAGAAGAUGAUAUCUAUGCAGGCUAAGGACUUGGGAUUAGCCAUUACAUCUGCAGCUGAGGUCGGUCUCGAGAGUCCGCUAACUUCCAAAGCUCAUAAUAUGUGAGAUAUCUUUUUGCCCCUAAACCUCCAUAAAACUAUAAAAAGCUAUCAUACUUGAGUUAGCUUCUUUCUUACUUUGUGAAUGCAAUUUUUUUUUUUCCUGCAGUUACAAAAGAUUAUGCGAGAAGGGCUACGAUUCUAAGGACUUUUCGUGUGUCUUUCGACAUUACUACUCUGGGAAGGAUGAGAAUUAGACACAUUCGCUGGUGAUAACAAAGCACAAAUUCAUCGAAGCAUGUUGUGGAUUGAACAUCAGAAAUGCUGUGUUCAGCGAUAACUACAACUAGUCUGUAAUUUAAGCAUGUACUUCAUUGAUAAAAAUUCAACAAAAUUGCCGGUAUAUUGGAGUAAACAUUUAUCUAAGUUGCUCCCUUUUCUUCAUAUUUGUUAUUCAAAGUUAAUAAAUUGUUCCGUAAUAUUCAAUAGACUCAGUUUCAGUGUCUUAUAAUUUUUAAACCUGCAGUCACAAUAUAGACUGUUUACUGCUGUUAAUAAUUUCUCAUACUGACAGUGGGCUAUAAUGGGCCAAACUGGGCUGUUGAUGGGCCCAAAAUUGAUUAAUUUUGGCCCGCUGUUCUAACUGCGUGAGCCCAGUCACUGACCCUAGCCCGGCCAACAACUUUUUUGAAUCUAGUUUGAAUAAAUUUCACCCACAAAGAAAUGAAUAAACAAAAAGAGGCCUUCUCUGAAACACACCUAUUUUUUUCUGUGCAGGGGCCCUCAGGAGGAGAAGAUAAUGUUUGGGCAAUACCAUAUCAGGAUCCAGCCACAUAGAGAUUGCCACGUGUCAGCAUGGUAAUCACCCUCUCACUUCAUAAUAUCACUCUCCUCUUCACAUUUUGGGCACAGUAGAGAGAGAGUAGAGAGAGAACACAGAGAGAGAGAGAGAGAGAGAGAGAGAGAGAGAGCAUGGCAACCACAGUGAUGUCUUCUUUGGUGUUGAAGCCAUCUUCAAUUGUAGUUGAGAGGGCUCAAGCUAAGGGACUCCCCUCAUUGGCACGGAGCCCGUCCUCUCUCAAUGUUCAGGCUAGUCGCACUAGGAAGAUCAAGACUACCACCCCCUACGGUAAGUAGCUUCGUCGCCACCUACAUGGUGUUACUAACAAAGUUACUUUUAUUACCGGCUCAGAGAGUCAUUGUACCUACUCACUUGUUAGUAGGUUUGUUGAAUAUUCUAAUCCCAGCGUCUUUGUAACUGUGACUCGAACCUGUAUUCUCUAAACCCACUCUAGUGCCUUACUGCUCGGAUACCAGUAGUUUGUGUAGAAAUUGUCAAAUCUAAUAAUAUUUUUGAUCUGGCUUCUGAAAUAACCUCUGUGUUCACGUAGAAGUUAAUUGAUUUUAACAUCCAGUUCCUUUUUGAAGAAAAAGCUAGAAAAAGUAAAUUUAUUCGUAAAAAAAAAAAAAACUCACCUCAUCCUAUUAUAUUCAUGAUUAUUCAAUCUUCAAAGUGUGAAACUUAGGAAGCACUAAUAUUGCAGGGCCUGGAGGAGGGAUGGAACUCCCAAGUGGUCUUGAUGCAUCGGGAAGGAAGGCUAAGGUAAUUGUUUUUUUAUUAUUAUUAUUUUCUUUAGUUAUUUUUUGUUCCAUCAUUACCUUCGAUGCAAUAUUUUAUGCACGGAUAAACAGAAACAACCUCUUGUUUUGAUACCAUAUGAGACAAUCGAUUAUCAUUUGAAAUGGUGCCUUAAUUAUUUGGUAUUCUUUUUUUUAAUAUAAUCCAGGGGAAGGGAGUUUACCAGUUUGUGGACAAAUAUGGUGCAAAUGUUGAUGGCUACAGGUAUAACACAUAGACUUGUUUACGUUUUUUUUUUUUUCUUAUUGCUCAACCUUAUUUACUUAAUUUAGUAGCUUCAUAAUAAUACAUGAAGAGAGAGAGAGAGAGAGAGAGAGAGAGAGAGGAUAAUCACUAUAAAUCCCAAAUUGGAAAAGAAAAGAAAUAAUAAUCCUGAAGAAACUUCUGUUAAUGAUUGAAUAGAACAAAAAACUUGUAAAAUUUAACAUUUUUUUUUAAUAAAUUUGCAGCCCAAUCUACUCACCAGAUGAAUGGUCCCCAAGUGGUGAUGUCUAUGUUGGAGGUAAACCACACAUCACAAUAACACAUCAACAGUUGAAUGCCGCACCGUCAGCAAACUAAAAGUUUUCUGGUCUAACACCAGAAAUACAGAUCCUCAGAAAAGUUUAACUUAAUCCCUUGUUCUUUAAAUUUGCAUAAUUUGAUUGAUCAUGCAGGAAGCACAGGGCUGUUGAUAUGGGCUGUAACUCUCGCCGGGCUGCUUCUCGGCGGAGCGCUUCUUGUGUACAACACCAGUGCUCUGGCUCAGUAGAAAAAAAACUUAAAUAUGUAUGGUUUAGUUAUGUACUAAGGACGAUAACGCAUCAUGCUUGCUUAUCAUUAAGCUCGUGUUGAUACUGUCUCUCUCAUGUAUAAUCCUUUACGUCUUUAAACGUAAAAUCAUGGAACAAUUUGUAUAAUUUUUCGUGCGCAUUGUUUCUAUGCCACCAUUGUGAAGUAACAAUAAGCUCGAAAAAUGCUCAAAACAGAUCGUAGUAAAGCAAGAGUGUGAUGAGGGGUUUAACCUCCCAAGGAGGCAUUAUUAUUAUUAUUAUUAUUUUUUUUGAAAAACAAAAUGUCGCAAGUACUUUACAGCAGCCUGCAACAUUAAUAAUCUAAUAACAAAUACCGUGUUAUGUAAAUAACAACAAGUUUUGAGGGUCUCACACAAAAUAUCAAAAGAUAUGCCCAUGGUUGAAAUAAACUUUGAAACCAAACCGGUAGUGCUUUACGAAAAAUUCUAGAAUGCAACGGGUACAUUAGUGACGUGGCGUAACAAACCAAUCAAAUUAAUCCUUUUAAAAAUAUAUGUCCCAUCAUGAUUGUAAAAAAAUAUUUUUAUUAUACUUUUGUUUAAAAAGAAGGAAUGUGAUUGGUUUAUUAUUGAUGACGUGGUGCAAGUGUGACAGUGUAGAAUUCCUCGUGCUUUACCGAGUACAAUAAUAUGUUCACAAAUGAAUUAAACUCUAAAAUUUAAAACGACUGCUUCUGUAGCAUCCAACCAGUAUUUUUCUGUAGCAUAUUUUACCACACCAUCCAUCAUAGUAGUAGUACACUUAACUUACAAAAAGAGGUAAAACAAACCUUAGUUAUUCUAUAACCACAACAGAAAUCCAUCAUACAGCCAAAAUAAUACCACACUUGACCUGAAAAUAACAAAAAUCAAGGAAACCAAAAAUGCGAGCUAAUGAGUGGCAAGUAGAAACCAAUUACAGUCCUUAACAUGUCUGAUAGAUAAUUGAGCUAACUAGGCAAAAAUUCUUAGUAAAGGUACAUUCUCGAAGGCCAGAGAAUCCGGAUUUAAUCAAACAGGCUGAAGCCCAUGUCGUCGUCGGACUCCUCCGCAGGCUCCUCUUUCUUUUCUUCUUCCUUUGCAGCAGCGGCCGGAGCAGCAGCAGCUCCAGAAUCAGCAACAGCAGCCGGGGCGGCAACAGCAAAUUUGCUCGGGUCCUGAUAAAACAAAAAUAUAACUUACGCCCAUCUAAUUUGUGUAGCUACCUAUUUGGUUAGGAAACAAGUUUUCAAUCAAACGAGCUUCAUAAAACAUUCUUAAGUCAACAAAUUCAUCCCUUCCAGCCAAAAAAACACUAGGAAUAUUGAUCAUCCAUGAACUGCACCGCAUUUGAAACAGGUACUGAACUGUGAAUUUUUCUACUUUCAACUCAAAUUUCAUUACUUUCUAUUUCAGAAACUCUUAAGUUCUGUUAAAACACAGCUGCUUCAUCACAUUAGUUGCAAGUAUACUUAUAUUUGGUCAAGUAACAAAAUAAAGAUCUGACAAAGAGAUACGUUAGUAAAAUAACAAGAGAGAUAGGUUAAUAUUGCAACCUCUCUUGUUAAUGUCGAUAAUUUGAAGAAGGUAGUUUACCAGAGAAAAAAAAACAAAAAACGAGCUCAUGGUUGUUACGCUAGGACUAAUUUAAACUUUGAGCUCAGAACAAGCGGGCUAGCAUUAGAUCACGAUAACAUACCUUCAGAUACUCCUUGAUCUGCUCUGCUUGUGGGAAUGUAUACUCAGUUUCAAUAGCAACAGCGAGUACAUUCUUGUAGGCAUUGAUGAACAUAUGCGGAGCAGCUGCGAGGGUCGGAUAGGAAAGGGCCAGGGAAAGCGAGGUGACCAUGGAAACACCAGCUGCAAACUUCUCAAUCAGAUCGUCCUCUGUCAGAUCGAGCACCUCGGGGCUGAAAACAGAACCGCUGUCGUACACUGACUGUAUGACGAGGCCGUAGGAGAAGGGCCUGAUGCCAAGCUUAGCAAGCAGGGCCGCUUCAGACGAUCCCACCUUUUCCCCCUUCCUGAUCAGCUCCACAGGAGUGAUGAUUUCGACCGUGCCCUUGUUGAUCUUAGUGGGGAUAUUGAGGACCUGAAAGUGGAGCGGUAGACAAGUAAGAAUUUGAAGAUUCGUUGAAAUUCUGUUCAAGAAUAGAAGAUAUGUGAUUAACUUACUUGGAAGAAGCUGGUCUGUGAGGGGUCCAGUCCGGUGUUGCCGGGUGGAACCACAACAUCAAUCGGGGCGACGAGUCCCACACGAGCAGGAGCUCCAACCUGAUUUGUACAAAUGGCCAUAAACAUCGUUAAAACAAAAGGAGAAAGUGUUGCAACAUCGCUGUUCAAAACAAUCAGAUAAGUUCAACAAACAACAGAGGAAUAACAUAAGAUACCAAGCACUGAAAAGUCAGGCCUAUGCUUCUGAAUCAAAUUAGCAAAAGAAGAGCUAUUAUCAUAAAUCUGGCAAGAAAUCAACUAACAUCAUAUUGUAUUUUUCCCCAAAAAUAAAAACACAACCAGAUAUUCAUACGCUCCCCAUGGCAUCCAUCAUAAAUCUCCUAGUAGUGCCUCUUUAUUAUCAACUUUAUACCUAAAGAGAUGUCACAAAAAUUAAGAAAACCAACACUUACUCUCUGAAGCCGGAAUACAAGAGUGUAUAUAGAUAGGUUCUUCUACCCUUACAGAUGAAUGUGUACAUAAAUAGCAAAACAUUAUAUAGAAGCUUUUCCUGGUUUUUACAACUACUAGUGAGUACUCACUCAUUAUCGAAAUUUGUCAUUUCAGAAUUAUCACAAAUUACUUUGGAUUGUUCAAACCGACUAGCAUUGUCAAUAAGCUAUCUUUUUAUUUACUGAAAACAGCUAGUCUGAUGAGUAAUAGUUCCUUCUGAAGCACGCUUGGUAAGACAACAAAAUUAUGCUUCCCCAUUAUAUCCAAAUGGUUUUCAUUGUAUCACUCCAAUUGAACUCACAAAACAGAACAGAAAUUACCUACUGCAGAGAAAUUCUUAUGUUUGUUUGACAUAUAAUAUUAUUACAGAACAGUGAUAGGAAAUAUGAUACAUACCUUAUACUUAGCAACCUCCUCACUGACCUCCUUGAGAUCUCCCUUGGUGAAAAUUAAUCCAACAUUUCCCUACAAUUUACAACAACUCUAGUGAGAGUAUUAUCCAAAUUACACUAUAACUAAACUAGCUAAAAUACCCAGAAACUUCUCAAAAAUACAGAAAAUAAAGGCAGAGGACCACAAAAAGCCCAAUACUUCAAUUAAAACUACAAUUUUUCUAAAAAAAUCUAGUACCUUCACAAAAACUAAUCAAAGUACUAAAUACCAACCGAAGAUCGUAGCUUUUCCACAGAUCAACAAUACGAAACCGAUGAAACAAAACCUAAAUGGAAUCAAAACAGUUUGGAAACGUUAAAAAACGAGAGAAAAAGAUCGAUUGAUACCACGAGGAGGGGGAGGAGGUUGAGGUAAUCCUUGUUCCCGGACUUCUCGGCGUGGAUCUUGAUGCAGCGUCGGAUGAGGGUGUUCUUCCCCAUGAGGAUGAUGGAGUCGCCCCUGAGCCCCUUGCGAAUGUUCUGGAGCUGGUUCGAGCCGACGUUGUCCGCCGUGGCGAUGAGCACCUUGUUGUACUCAUCGAGGAGCUGGCACAGCUUCUUGUCGUACGCGACCUUCUUCUCCGCCUUCGAGAGCUUCACCGUCAUGGCUGCGUCGAUCUACGAGAUCCUCCCAAAAACUCCUAACCCUAAACCUAACCCUAGUUCGAUGAGGAGGAAGAAGAGGACGAUGAGGGCCUAGUCGAAGCGGGAGCUCGAACAGGGCGGACGGGGAGAGGGGGCCGUCGCUUUAACCUCACGUUUCUCUGAAACCCUAGCGGGCGAUCGCGAGGACCCUUUUAUAGAGGUUGGCACGUGCGGAGCACGUGCAAACCGGCCUGUUUGGCUCGGCGCGGUUCCGUUGNACCUCACGUUUCUCUGAAACCCUAGCGGGCGAUCGCGAGGACCCUUUUAUAGAGGUUGGCACGUGCGGAGCACGUGCAAACCGGCCUGUUUGGCUAGGCAAAGUUGGCCUGGUUUUGGCUUGAGGGCAAGCUAGUGACAAGCUGUGAUCGCCUGGAACGGGUCCACCAAGCCAUCUAUAGUCCGCAAGCAUAUCCACCGUCCAUCACCUCCCUCCUUGCAAUCUCUACCACACUUUAAGAAAGUAAGUUUCUGACGGAGGGUGGAGGAGUACACGGUUAACAUCGUACACGGUGGACCUGGUUCAGGGAAUAAUUUAUUAAGGCCCAUUGAUGGUUGAUCUUAUCUGUCGAACUGAGCAGUGCAAUCAUCAACAUCAGCAUCAAUUGGACUGAUUUUACAAUGUAGCUUGGUUGGGAAUUCGUGUCUGAUUCGAAUUCGAAAUCGCCGGGCUAUUAAACAGUUUGAUAAAGAUUACGGAGUACAAUACCAUGUGACCCCCACUUCGCGACCCAUCGCUGCACUGCUGAUGCACUGCAUAUUCAUAAUCUACAGCAAACUGCUGAAAUGAGACUGCAUGAGCCACACACCUCCCCGCAGAAGCAGGGCCAAACAGACACCGAAUGUAACAGACAAAAAUGAGAAGGUAAUAUGAAAUGAAGACACUCUAAUGAAUGACUAUAGCUUUAACUUAAUCUGUUAGAGCACUCACAGGCAAUGAAAAGAAAAUGGCUUCUGCCCAUUUGGCCUUCGUGCCGCUAAUUUUUCUAUUCCGAGAAGCAGCACCAAAGCAUUUUGUGGUAGGGAACUGAAAGAAGUCUGAGGAAGCUGGUAGGCGGAUUCUGAUGAAGAUGCUAGUGUUGGUUUAACAGGAAUCAUCACACCGUAAUGCAAAUGAUUAGAUAGUAUAACAGAUUCAUAGGAUAUAUGAAAACUUUCCAAAGACAUCACACUCUCUUCCCUCUUGAAUCACAUUAACUGAACAACAAUAUGAUCAGACCAGAUAAAAAGCAAACAUUUCUAUACGCCUACAGGCUUUUUCUCAAAAAAAUAUAAAAAAAAGUAUCUAUCUAUCAAAAAGAGAAGAUAGAAGAAUGCACAUUCUCCACAAAAAGUCUAAAUCAAUCGUCGAACAAAUUCACCAUCGAUCCAGGUCACAGAAGAAUCGAUCUUCAUCAGCAAAUACAUUCCCCUAGAAGUAUAAUUUUACUCACCAGGUAUAAAUAAUAAGUCUUUUUUAUGUUUUUUGAAAGCCUAUAUUCGCCCCUGGGUAUUCUCUCGGUCAUCGAACACGUUCACCAUCAACCCAGUGUAAUGAAGGAAGGAUCUUUGUCACCAACUGUCCAAAGUUCUCACUAGAAACCGGAUUCCCCUUCAUAUUUAGUUGCUUUAAAUUUAAGGACUUAAACAAUAGCAUCAUCUCCCAGUGAUCUGCCACAUUGAUAUUAUCCUUCUGAAGCACUUCCAUAAUUCCUUUUACAUCGAAUGUGUGCGAUAAAGGAGAUGAGCACAGGUACCUAGUAGUGUCUACAGGGUGAGCACCAAUCUCAUUGAAUGAUAAAUCCAAAACCCUCAAAGAGCUUAGCCUUUUCAGGGGCUCGAGUGAGGUAAAGCUGCUGAUUUGAUUGUUGCUUAGGUUUAAGCAGAUAAGAAGUUGCAAUGCUUCCAGACCUGUCAACAAAGAAAAAGAAGAAAAAAAAAAAAAACAACCAAGGAUUACUUUUAUUUGCUUUUUUCCUUUUUUCUAAAACGGGUGAAAUUAAGAUCUAUAGACACUUAGAGACCUUACUACAGGAAAGCCAAAAGAUCUAACCUGCAAUUGAUCUAAGCUUGUUGUGACUAAGAUCCAGUAUCUGGACCCACAACAUGCGUUCAACAAACCCGACACGUGUUAAUGAUAGUCUUCUAAGCUGUAAGCAAUUAUGGCGGCGAAAAGUAGAGAAGUUUGGAUUAUCAUAUUGCCAACAAUAUUUCACCAAAGACUCUUUGUCUGAAGUUACCUGCAGAGUGAAAGUGAAGUUAAAAUAAGCUGGGAAACCUCAAAAGAAUUUCCAAAUGGUAAACUUCUAUUGAAUUAUAUGAAAUAUCAAAGACAUGCUCAAUAUUAGUGGAAGAAAAUCAUCUUAAAAAAGACAUAUAUUUCCAGCAGAAAACUUCACAAAGCGAAGCUUUGCUGUAGCUUUGGCUUUCCCACCUACAUAAAACUAUAAAGAGUCAUGUCCAAUAAUUUUGGAGUUCAAAGUCACUUGCAUGUAUCUAUCCCCAAAAAGAUUUUUUCCAAAGCCGGAUUUUAUGUAGGAUAAGGAAAUCUACAUCUGUGUCGCGCUGAACCCGAACAUAAAGGCAGACAAAACAGAUAUCACUCAAACCAUUUUCACCCUCACCCUAGCAUCAACUGAAUAAUACAUGGUUAAGAAGUGUAUACGAAAUGAUUACCUGAUCCAAUAGAACUAAGCUCUGUUCGUCCUCAUAAUACCUUUUAUGAGAUGGAUCUAAUUUGAUCAAAUCAUCAAAGAGCUCUAAAGCCUCCUCACAGUGCUUCCUCUUUUGUUGUAGAGAAUUUUCAGGAGACUUCAUUGCAUCAUAUGCAAUCAAGAGGCGUGCUAAUGUUAACUUCACAAAUUUACUGCAAAGAACGAAUAAUUUACAGACAAGAAAGCAGCCGAAAAAUGAAAAAAAAAAAUAGAAACAAUGAAAAUAAAGGUAAUAAUAAUAAUGAUAACACUAACCAAUUUUCUUCAGACAUCUCUUUAAAUAGAGUUAUCUCUUCAGACAAAGUGUCGAAGUGCCACUUUAAAUCCUCUUUCAGUGCAUCAUCAUUGAUCUUUAGCUGAUCAAAUGAAGUGAAAUCUGAAUUUUCCUGAGAAUAGAAUUUUUCCGAAUAAUUCCAUGAAAACGGCUCCUGAGCCAAAUUUCCUUGAGCCUGCUCUGGAACAUUAUGAUCAAACUCUACGCUAAAUUUGAACUUCGAAGGAUUGUAAUGCAAGCCACUAACUGACACAAUACCCUCCGAGCAGCCAACUUCUACUUCAACUGAAAAAGUUUGUGAAGUACUGCAAUUUCCCUCGAGAAUCAUAAGAUAAGUAGCCCAGCAAUUGGCUUCCCCCAAAUUCGAAGCCAAAAGUGGCUUCCAAGUAAGAUCUUCGUUCUUGGCCAACUCCGAACUCACCAUCACAGUGGAUGAAGUUAUUCCUUUGACGGGUUUAUUGAAAUAAAGAACGAUUGGGAGGGUUUCCCUUUGAAAAGGGUAUAGAAAGGAAUUGCAAUUAUCUUUUUCCUUAACUAUAGGCAGAACAAGCUUUGAUUGAUGAAUGGGCCAUGAAGAGAUUAGUUUUAGCUGAUCCCCACUACAUGUCUGAUCCAGAAGCCACAAGUGAUAAAACCACCCACUUUGAUCACUUGGAUCCGUAAAAAGAGCUUGACGCACUAGCUCAAGCUCCUCUGAUAAGAUCUUCUCCUUUGACUCGAACCCAUUAGCCUUUUUCCCCAGCAAAUGGGAGAGAAGAAUACUGGACACAUGUCAAGUUAUAAAAAAGCUAAAAUAUAAGAUAUCCUCUGGCAGAAGCUAUUAUAUAGUAAACUUCACAAGAAAAUAUGAGAAGAAAUAUUGAAUGAGGCCCACAGUUUGCUAACUAUCAUAUGCAAUCAAAACAAGUGUAAAGAAUUGAUGCAAAUGCUCUACACUUAAUAAUUAAACGACUAAUCGCUAAGAACCAAAAGGCAAACAUAUGACUAAUUAUGAAGAAUAAGUUGGAUUUCCUAUCCGAACAAUGGUCCAUUACCCAUCUUUGUGGGAUAGAAAAGCGCAUUCAAGAUUAUUCCCUCCUGCCUCUAAACGCAUAUUGCAGAUACUGAGAAAAGGUAUUCUACAAUAUUUAGUCUUAACAGUUCUAAAUUUCAUCCAUUUGCUAAUAUAAACCAAAUUCAACAACAAUGUUAAUGAUACGUUCACACCUGCGAUUAUGCCAUGCAGAAUAGUUGCUGAAAUUUGUGUUGAUCAUAUCCAUAGUAAAUCCCAGCUCCUCCUCCUCCAACACAUUCUUCAGCCUUGUGACGAACCUGAACCCAAUCAACUCAAUCCAAACACCUUUACAUUCCCAAAAAAGAGAACCUUUACAGAUCAAAGAACUACCUUCGGUAGCUCCACCCAUGGAAAUUCCUAGCAUCAGCCUUUAGCAGCUGAUCCAGAAGCCGGAACUCACGCCCGAAGUCCACCUCCGCAAGCUUCUGAUUCAACACCCAUUUCCUGUGAUACCAAGCCCCGUAAGACUUGGGAUUCCUCCUCAACGCCGCCUCUACCUUCACGAAUUCCCAAUAAAAACCCCACCUUUAUCUAAAUUAACCAAGUGGAUACUUAAAACCAGUUCAAAAAACACACAAAGGAACAGAAACCAAACCACUCUGAGCUCAUCCUCGACAGCCGAUUUGAUGGCCUCGGGAUCGGAGACUCCGUUGAGACUGUGCUGAAGAGCGAGCUUUCGAUAGUUCCACGCGGUGUAGAUCUCGGGGUUGACCUCGAUAAGCUUCGAGCUCGCCAAAAGAGCCUCCUUUGUGUAUCUAAAGAACAACCCAGAUGAGGGACCGUCGUAAGGCUCCCAAAUAAGGCCUCAAAAUAUGCGAUCAAGAGCUCUUUUGCUCCAUGAGUGGAUCUGGAGAGAGAGAGAGAGAGAGAGAGGGAGAGAGAGGGAGAAAAGGAGAAAAGAGGGAGUUAAUAUACAUGCGAUUUUGGUGGUUUUGGAGGAGGAGGGAUUGGAGUUCGUGGAGUUUCGAGGCCUUGGCGGCGGCCGCUGCGGCGUCCUCGGGCUUGGGGGAUCUCCGUGGGCGCCCGUGCAUGGCCUCUUCCUCUUCUUCUACGUCGUCGUCGUGGAGGGGAGGGGGAGAGGAGAGAGAUGGAGGCGUUAGGGUUGGGACUAGAGAGAGAGAGAGAGAGAGAGGUUCUGUGAGGGAGACGAAGACGACGAUGGCGUGGGUCUAAUUCCGGCUCGACGUAAGAGGUUCGAGCUCGAUCGUUGAUGGAUUCGUCUCCAAAUUGAAAGUGGUGGUGUGAACUGUGAACUGUGAACUGUGAACACGCACUACUCUUUAAUAAUAAUAAUAAUAAUAAUAAUAAUAAUAAUAAUGAGUCCGUUAACUAAGCAACAGGCGCAUUCACAUACACUGCAAUAAAAAUAAACAAAUAAAAACAGUUCAUAAUGUCAUAAAAAAACAAAAGCUCUAAUCUUAUACCUCUAUUUUUAUCCAACAAAAAUUUAUUAAAAAGUUUUAAAAAAUAGAAAAUUAUCUCUGAAUUUUUACAAUAUACACUGGAGUCAAAUUUAUUAAAAAGUGAACUUUUUCAAUAUUAGUGAAACACAGUUUUUACGCAGGUAUACAUUAUUAGGUACAUAAUUAUCUUCCUUAAGGAGAGGGAAAAAAAAAUCAACAAAUCAGGAAACAACACUUAAGAGUGAAAAGAGAGAGAGAAAAUAAAUUCAAUGUCCUCAUUUACAUCUAACAGCAUUAAAAAGUAAAAAAUUGGCAAAGAAAACACUUAAUUGCUUUCAUCAAAAGCUCUCGCAGAACCAAAAAAUAUCAAAAAAAAGAAAAAGAAAAGAAGAAGAAAAGACUAUAAAUCUGUUCAUGAAUGUUUGAUCUGAGUUAUUCCAUCACAUGUUUCUCAACUACAUAUUUACAAGGAUUAUUACUAUUAGCACCACCUAAAAUCCUCUCCGCUGCAAAAUAUAAAAAAGCAACUCCUUUAUAACAUCUCUACAAUUAUCAAGGGCUACUCCCUACUAUUAAGCUUCCAAACAAUACAGACCUAAAAUAUAUACACCCAUGUCGAUUGUCCACGGAGAAAAAAAAUUAAAGAGAAGAGUCAUAGCCAAGAUAAAAGGUGAAUGACUCCAUGAUAGAACUGUAGAUGAAUAAAUUGCACCAUUGGUUUCUAAACUUUUGCGGGAUAUACAAUUUGGCCUCUGAAUUUUUAAGGCGCGCAUUAGACAUCCCAAACUUUUUAUAUCGUUUCAGGUGAGUCCCUCUCGUCAUGCGCGAUCUGGGAUGUGUGGUGUACACUUUAGAAGUUCAGGGACCAAACUAAAACUCGGCUAACAGUUCAAGGAUUAGUGGUGCAAGUUAUUCUAUUGAAGAUUGAUCAUCUUCUUCUUUAAGCUGUAGAUUGAGCUGAAGCAGCUCCAUUAUUCAAGGGAGACUUCUCGAACCCAGACACUUCAGCUGCUUUAGCCUUGUUCUCAGAGGGGUCUAUGCUCGGGUGAUUCAUGGAAAGUGGCUUCUGCAUUUCAUGCGGGUCAGCCUCAUUAUCUUGUUUCUCUGUAGAUUUGGAUUUAAUGAAUCGACCUCCGGAUCCCCUAGCUCUUCUCACCGCAUGCAAGUGCCGAGAUUCAUGAAGGUAGGGCUGAAAAAUAUGCGAAAAUAAAAUUGUUAUCAGAGAUCUAAGAGAACAUGAAACUGUUAUUUACAAAAUAUUACGACAUAAUUCUUUAGUAGCUAAAGCUUUUAGAGGAUAAUAAGUGUUUCUCAUGGUAUCAGACAAGAACUUCUUGAGCUUGAGUUCCGCCGAGACAUGAUCACAAAGAUAAGAAGCAACUAAUUACUAAAGAUCAAACCUUUCGGGAUUUGAUCAGUUUGUUUUCCGAUUCAGCUUUUGCACGGGACUGGCGACGCCUUAGUAUUCCUUGAUAUUGCUUUGCAUUGACAUACACAGGCUCAACUGCAUCAUUUGUCAUCAGCAUGCUAAUUGGAGGCAAUCCCAUUGAAGGAUGAUAAACCUGAAGCCAAUUUUAUCAAUAAAAACCAGUUAAUGAAAAGCACAUAAAUUGCUCUCUAGUCCAGUCCAUAAGAGAAAAUCAGGUAAAGCUUAAAAGAUUCUCAUUUUAAGAAGUUGAAAAAUGAAUCAUACCGCAGUUUGUGCACCAUACGCAGCAAUUAUGCCUCUGCAAUACGGAUCUACAAAUGGGUAAGCAACCUGGGCCUGUAUAUAUGAGAAAGGUACAAACACUUCAGUCCAAACCCGCCAACUUUUGAAUCACUAUCUUCUAUUAUCAGCUGAGAAACCUAUUUUGUAGAGCUACUAAAAAAAUCGUGCAUCCGAAAACACAAGUUCAUAUGCAAGAACUAAACUCAACUUUUACACAAGAAAUUGGAAAACUAAUUUAAUUACACGUCACCAAACUGCAUGUUGGUUAAUUAAAAAUAACAUGCAGCUGAAAACUUUCAGCAUGAUCUCAGGUUUGUCUUCCUUAAUGUGAUUGGAGGCCCAGUGGACGGACUUAAAUUUCAAUACUCAUCUUUAAAAGAAAAUAAAAUAAAUAAGCAAAAAUAAAAGUCGAUGCUAACUAUUCUACAGGUAGGAUUAGCAAACAAUCCACAAUAGUAAAUCAAGUAUAUACACUCCCGACAUAAGCUUUUGCUUCUCUGCAGAAAAGGGACAUAAGAAGCAGUUAUUUUAAUACCACUGUUUGCCCCAUUUCUAUAUGGCCGAUAGGCACCAUAUAUUCCAUAGGCACUGAUGUUGGUCCAGGAUAAUAUUGUCCAGUUGCAGAAGAUCCACUGUGAAGCACAGAGUUUGAUUGCUUUUGUUGCUCAUUCGAUUCACUAUAAUCUGCGAAUUAAUAAAUCAAGAGAGCAGAGAAUUAAUCAGCAAUGAUAAAAAUGAACACACAAAAAGAGAAAGCACAAAGAAGCCCCACAGGAAAAGGAAGAUGGUGUUGCAACAGUCGACAGAAUAAUUAGAAAGUUCGGCUAAGUUAUAUUGCAAUUGGCGACAACAAUAUACAAAAAAAACUGCUAAAAGAUAUGAGCAUUUUUUACCCGCAGCAAGAAACAACCUUGACAGUAAGAAGAGUACAUUUACAAUUCUAAUGCAUCAUAUUUGAAACAAACCAAAACAACGAGAUACAACACGAUGCACAGGCUGUGCAAAUAAUUCGCUAAGUUUCGAAUUUGGAGAGAAAAGAUAAAAGUACCAGAUGAACUCUGAUUAGAGGAUGUCAUGACGCAUGCGAAAACCCUACAGCGGAACCGGAGACAGCAUAAUGCAGGGCAAUGAUAAUAUAGACUACUGCUCCUACAAAAAUCUGACUCUGCAUUAAGAAAUCAAAAGCUGUAUUAGUUAUCCAGCCAAAAUCUCUAUGUAAAAUGCUUUGUUUUCCAAUUAACGAAACAUGUUGAUUUCUGACAUAAGGGAAAUAACACAUAGCACCACAAAGUCAAAAAGAAAAUAUUAGGAAACCAUAGUAACAUGCACAUAAACAGAAGAUGGAUAAUAAUAUUAACUUGGUUGCAUGCCAUUAAAUCGAGUCUCUUAUUUUAUGCCUUCACUUGAUGUGUAGAAAAAUUAUUGAAGAAAUUAAAUGUGUUAUGUACAUUAGAUCCUCUAAAUCUACAAACAAUUUGGGAGUUUUCUAUUCAAACUUCGCCGAAGUCCUAGUUGCAUGAACCACUGAAUACAGAGUUGCACUUCUAGUAACACCGUAAACUUCUACAAAAACACAUCUUCAACAGAAAAAUCAACUGCGUGUACGCCUUUCUACUCGCAAUCUCCGUAAAUUUCUACGUACACCUACAGUCGCAGCAAUCUCCUAAACCCCCAAAUUCCCCAAUUUUCCUCCCUUCCAUCCACCAAAAGGAAUAAAACCCUACUAAACACGAGAUUAUAAGCACCAAUUCCAACGACAGAGAAUUAAUGAUAACACAAGUUCCAAUUAAACAGCACACAAUUCGACUUAUUAUACGGAGGAGAUCGGCAUACAUACAAGUAUCGUGGUAAUCAGAGUCGAGUAAUUUCGGAUAAAAUUCCCAUAAAUUCGAACCUACAUUGCACUUUACUGAGGAUCAAAACCGAAACACUCAUACAUACCAAAAUCCUCCAAAACCACCUAGCACAAACAGAUCCACUAGCUCCACAGACCCCAAAAACGGCGGAAUUGAACGAGAAAUCUACAUUUAAUCACCAAAUUGCAUGAAAAAUAGGUGAAUCGGAAGAUAAUUACCUAAUCAAACGAAGAAAUUUCAACCCAAUUUGAUCUUCUUUGAGGGGGAUUCGAGAGGAGAAUGUGGAUAUCGUCGUCGAAAUUGGGGGAGGAGCUAUCACGAGGGACAGAGAAGAGGCGGCCGGGGUCCAGAAUCUUCGAUCGCGCUCGCGGUUCAACGUAACGGCCGUUAGAACCGCACGGUUAUUGGCUAGCACGGGGUUGGUGGAGAGAUAACGGCGUUUAGAGGUUCCAGGGGUGCCCGUGGAUCUCUGCGGGCAGAGGAGCGCGCGGCUCAGAUGGGCGGUGGGGGCUGCCCGCGGGCAGGUGCGGGUACGUAGUGACACACGUGGGCUUUGUGUGGUGUGUGGUUCGUAGGCGCUAGUGCGUCACUAGUGGGGCUGGGGUGUUGGCACGUGUGAGGCCAUGGUCCACGUGGCGGGCGGUGAGGAAGGCGUGGGCGUGGGGCCCACUCUCGAACACGUGUGCGCCAGCGCGAGACCGUUCAUGGGCCGAGAAGUUGUGCUAUUGGGCUAUUGGGCCGAUGUCCCUAAGGGCCCGUUGGGCCCAACUUUUUGCGAUGUGGUGAGAGAAAUGGGUACGAAUUCUCAAAAUUUCAUCCGAACACGAAUCCGAAUAAAAUGGAUUUACUUGAUGCUAAAUGAAUAUAGAUUUUAGAUACAAAUAUAAAAAUAAAAAAUCGACGGAUUUGAAUUUGAGUAUGAAUUUUAUCUAUCUCCAAUCCGAACAUGAAUUGAUUUUGCAUUGUAUAUUAUAUAUGAGUGUUUGAUAUUAUAUAUGAAUUUAUAUUUUAAAAUUUUAGAUUUAAUGUAGUAUGUUUUGAAAUAUAGUAACGGCAAAUAAUUAUUUUAGGUUCGGGUUUUCUGGUUCGCGGGUUUGGGUUUUGAGUUUUUAAUCCCGUUCGGAUUUAGAUAUGGAUUUUUUUAAACAAAUCAGCUGUAUUUAAGUCCGAAAUCGGGUUUUGAGUUUGGUAAUCGAAUUCAGAUUCAAAUUUUUAAAAAUCCGUCCUGCAUCCAACCCAUUAACAUUUGUAACAAAAGCUGAGCUAAAGAGGCACUAAGAAGUAAGAACCAGCUUGAUAUUGAGAAUCAUCUAACACAACAUUUUUGUAUUUUCAAUAGAACCGUAAAAUAUAUAUCGUUAUCGAGUUGUUAGGUCUAAUUUGGAAUUGUGAGAAGAGUAUAUUAUAUGUGGUAAACGAGUGUAAUGUAAAAAAAAAAUGUUCAUUUCCAUAUGUAAAAUCACGUCACGUAAUAAAUUGAUUAUUAUAUAUAUUUAUUCCUGGUCCAUCAAAAAAUAGAAAAGCUACUCAUCUUCACGUGAGUUUUUUUUUCAUUUAAACUAUUUUUUCAGUUUUUUCCUUAAGCAUAACACUCAAUUUGAAAUUCCUUGCAUAAUGCAUUGUAUGAGGCCGAGAAAGUACGAUGAAUGCAUUGUAUGAGGCCGAGAAAGUACGAUGAAAUAUAUAUAUAUAUAUAUAUAUAUAUAUAUAUAUAUAUAUAUAUAUAUAUAUAUAUAUAUAUAUAUAUAUAUACACACACAUUUUUUUUUUCCUUUCAAAUUUAUACUUUAUUUGGACCAAAGAGUAAUUAAAGAGCAAGUAAAAAGGAAUAAUUAAGGGGAUUAUCAACNUUUGUACAGUAAUAGUGCUAUAAUAAUUAGGAACUCUAAAUUGAGGCUUUUAUAUUGGGGGAUUAAUCUCAUUUUAAUUUCCCGUUACACUAAAAGCACGCUACCUGCUUCGUUUAUUACAUUUAGAAAUAAACUUAGCUGGAAAUGUGAAUCACCUAGAAUUCAAACUUAGGUCUUAGAUAUCAAUCACUAAACCCUUUAUCACUUAUUUUAGGAACGGUCGGUACUUCGAGCCUUUUUUUGUUGUUUGCUCGACACUGCGUAUGUAACAAUUGUCGCAAAAAGUAGGACCAGUGAAAAGGAGAAUAAUAAGUAGGCAUUUAGUGCAAAUCUAAUUCAUCGUCCAUUUCCGUAAGUUAAAAAAUAAAUAAAUUAAUGGCCUAAUGUCGCCCAUUACAGUUUUUCCUAUACUUGUUAUUACCAAUCACCAUUCACUUUCACUUGAACUCAUAAUUACUCUCACACGAGAACUAAACAAAAGCGGACCAGAGGAAAAGGAUAUUUAUUGGCCGUGAAAACUAAAUAAAAAAAAGCAGCUUUUUUCUGCUUUUGAUUCUGAAUCUUUAAAAUUAAUUUUUUGAUUCUGAAAAAUAAAAUCAGAUUUUGAAAAUGAGGUUGCCAAACGUUUUAUUGAGCCGAAAAUCACUUUCUAACCUGAAAAGCAUUUUUUAAAAGCUAGACCAAACACCCCCUUAGUUUAAGUGACCUACCAUCGUACGAAAAUUUCGCGGUUCAAUUUUUGAAAUUACGGGAGUAAAAAAUGUCUUGGUUGUCAAAUUUUAAUUUUAAAAAAACUCCAAAUACUGCCUUUGUGGUUUCACACUUGUUUACUUUAGUAUAUGUAGUUUAAAGUGUAUUAAUUUAGUGUCCUAUGCUUUUAUUUUUAUCUUUUUAUUAUCGAUUUUACUAAUUUUUUUUCGUUAAAUCAGUAACAAAGUUAAAACUAAAGUGUACUAAAGUAAAUAUUCAAUAAAUCAAGGUGGGGCAUCUGAAGUUUUUUUAUAUAAUUUAACGAAAUAUUAAUGAAGAAGCUGACGAAAAGAUAAAAAUAAAACCAUAGGAUACUAUCUUGAUACACUUUAAACCACAUGGUACUAAAGAGAGAAAGUGCGAAACCAUAUGAAUGAUAUUUGAAGUUUACCCUUUAAUUUAUUAUAAUUUUAAUUUUUUUUACAUUAUUUCAAUUAAGCCUCAUGAUUCAAAUUAAUCGACUUAAUAUUAAUGUGGCGUUAAUGUGAAGUGAUAAAUAAUAGUAUUAUGGUUGAUGACGCGACAAUAGUUAUAUAUUCACUUUAAUUUCACAUUACUAUCAUAUCAAUAUUUAAUCAUCUAAAUUGAGUUAUGAGAUCUGAUUAUAAUAAUUUAUAAAUUUGCUUAUAUAAAAGUAAUGCAACAGUAUUAAUUGAUAAUAUGACAAUAAUUAAACUAUCACAUCAUUUUUUGAUUAACAAGACGAGAAAGUUCCAACUAAAAAUUACAAUAAGUUACAGACUAGAGCGCGAGUGCGGUAUAUUUUGAGGACCAAAAGUGUAAUUUAGCCUUUAUUUUUUCAAUUAAUUUUGAUUUAAAAGGGUUAUUGUUGAAGUUUAUAUAGAAAAUUUUUAUCCACUUUUGUUGGUAUUAUAGAAAGUCAAUAACUCUGACAUUAUAAUUAUUUUUUGAAUUUAUUUUACUAAAAUUUUUAUAAUAGCACAUAGAAGAUACAAAAAUAUAAUAGUUAUUUUUUUAAUUAUUUUUGUCAUUAACUAUUUUAUAAUUCGGAAGAAAAUCUAUUCUAAUAUUUUUAAAAAUAAAAUAAUGAAAAAUUUUAGUUUACGAAAACUGAAAAAAUAAAGCUCCACUUCGAGCAAACAAGUUGCCCAGCCCCUGCGAAGUGCAAAUUCCCCAUAAUGUACCCACAAAUGUCCCCACAAUCAAAUUGGUAAUAGAGCAAAAGCACGUAUUUACUUUUCUACCCCUAAAAAUUUCAAUUCGGGUACGCUUUGGGUAAAUCCAAAGAGUACAUGAUGCGUCACUCAUCCAGAUACAAAACCCAAAUAAAAAAAAAUUAAUUUCAUACAAAUCCCUGUAAAUAUAAUAAAUUACAAAUGUAUUUUUAUAACAUUCAAUUUUCAUAUAUUAUCCUACAAAAUUUCUAAGUUGAAGCACUAUUUAUUUUAUAAGUGAAAUGAUUUUUUUAUCAUCACAAAUAUGUUCCUCUAAAAAUCUCAACUGCUAAUUGAAUAGGGGUAAAAAAAUUAAUUCACCUUAUUAACUAACUAGGGUUAAGCAUUUUAUCUAAGGUUAACUAUUUUUUUCUAACGGAUCCUAACGAUAGGGACAUAUUUGAAGAUAUAAAGAUUUUUACAGAGACAAUAUAUAUAAAAAUUAAAUUUUAUACAAAUAUAUUUGUAAUUCAUUAUAUUUACAGAAAAUAGUAUGCAAUUAUUCGCAUAAAAAAAUAAUUAGUAAAAUUCCCCACCAAAAAUAUAUAUAAUAACAACUAUUUAUUUUUAAUUUUAAUUUUGUUUUGUUCUCUUGCACUCCAUCCCGCGAUUGAAGGAUUCGCUCAUCUCCCCCUUCCUCUCUCCUCGUCUCCUCUCCUAAUCUCUCUCUCCCCCCAAACCCUAAUCGAUCGAACCCUCCGAACCCUAGCUUCUCCUCUUCUUCUACUACUUCGCCCCCCCGCUUCUCGUUCCUCGCAAGGGUUUGGAGCGGCUCCUCCGAUCUGCUUCGCCCCCGUUCGAUCUUCGACAAGGUGUGGGGGGUUUUCGGCGCCACCGAGGAGUCGAAUUCUAGGGUGUUGUUAGGGUUGGUUUUGCUUUUGGAGGAGGUUUCGGUGGGGUUUGGUUGGGGGUUUGUUCCGCGGAUUUGAGUGUUUGGGAACCCUAGAUCUGGUGGUUUUGGGGCGAGGAAGAGGAAGGGAUUGGGAUCUUUUCACCGGGGCCAAGUCAAGAUGUUCUGGCGCAUGACUGGGUUGUCCGCGGCCUCGCCCGUAAGUUCACGAGCUCUUUGAUGCGUUUUUCUCUUCAUUUUUGCUUUCGCUCUCGAGUUAUGUUUAUUGGGCAUUUGAAUUUGAAUGGUGGCGCAACAAUUGAUAUCAUUGUGAAGUAUAAAUUGUUGUUUGGCAUGGUGAUUGCUUUUCGUAGUUUUAAAGAGUUGGGUUACAUUUCUCUUCAUUUUUGCUUUGGCUCUCGAGUCUUGUUUAUUCCACAUUUGAAUUCCUAUGGUGCCGCAACAAUUGAUAUCAUUGUGAAGCGUAAAUUGUUGAUUUACAGUUUGCAUGGUGAUUUCUUCUUCUUGUAGUUUUGAAGAGUUUAGGGUUACAUAUUAGCUUUUCUUAUGCGGCCAUAUUUUGGGCCCUAUGGGGCUAGUUCCUCUUAUUAUUUAGUAUACACAUGCAUCUAUGUUCCAGGGAUUCUUGUCGAGUGUAUACUUUAUGUGGAACCAAUGCUUACAAAGUAAUCAGUUUGUUAUAUACUAUGAAUGCAUAAAACUACUACUUUGCUUUCUCCAUUCUGCACCACUUUGCGAAGUUGUUUGUUUAGGCAAAUGAUUAGUUUUAACUAUGUUGGGAUCAUUUUCUACCGAACUUGCAAGCUUGUAAAGAAAUUGGGCUUGGCUACUGACUACUAAGGUUAUGUUUUAGUGUUUGUGCUUAUAGAUUAUGCUAUUAUAUAUUAAUUUGGCUCUGACUAAUAUUAUUAUUAUUUUUACUGUUUCAGUGGUGUAGCAGGUAGGUUUUGCUGUAUAUAGGAAAUUUAUCUAAUUUUGGAAGGCAUAAAAAUCCGUUCUUCAAACCAUUGUUUCUUGUUCCAGCCUUUUAGCUAUUAUUGCUAAUUGCUGUAUAUUUUUUUGUACAACUUUUUUUUAUUUUCUUUUGGCAUAACUGUCUAGUGAUGUUGUAGACAGAUGUUUAAAGAUGAUAAUCAACAUUAAUCCAUCUGUAGCUAGAAAUUAGCUUAUCUUCAAUAUUAGACUGGAUUGGACUAUUAUGUACUUUACAUCAAUUCCAUUCUCUGUUAUUUCAAUCAGAUUUUAAAUUAUAUAGUUCAGAUAAUUGAUGUCCGGCGGUCUGCUGAUGCAGUAGAUAUUAAUGUUUCAAGUUGGAAAUCACUAUGAAAAGAUGCACUCUGUUCAUUCUCUCAAUGGUCGGCUACGUUGGUGGAACUAUAGUUAAGCUCCAUACCGGUGGUCAUCUUGGAAUAUAUUACUGCUGACUUUUUUGUUCAUUAUUUAUAUUGAGGCAUUUUGUAUCGAAGGUCUUGCCACUUUCUUGUCUUGCUUUCUAAACUUCAUUCUAUUAUACGUGUAUUUGUGACUACAUCCUUUAUCUCCGUAGGUCCUAUUUUCUUCUUACUUCACUUUUCAUACCCGUAAUCUCUAGCCCGUAUUCCACUUUAAUCUAUUCUAGCAUGUCUACACCCAAGUUCUAUGUUUUUGUUUUAUCAUGAUAAUGUGCGUGCUAGUAUUGUCCCAUAUGCGAGUGCUUUUUAAUCUUUUCCAACUCAUUCUUAUUUCAAUCUCAGGUGGAUACUGUUUUAGACAAAGAGAACUAUACAUUGGAAGAGCUUCUUGACGAGGAUGAAAUUAUUCAAGAGUGCAAAGCACUGAAUACUCGUCUUAUUAAUUUGUAAUGAUCUUUUCCUCUCACUCGCAUUUUCUGUUCCCAUUUAAAAUUUGUCUUUGACUUCACUUUGAAUGAGAUCUUACUAUCUGUGCAUUCUGAACUUCUGCAUUUCGUUAUUGCUUUACCUUUUCAUUUUUGUAUGAACAAAGCAAACGAGGAUGCCUCGAUGAAUUUUGUAGUGCUAUAUUUGGAACCCGUAUUUAUGUAGUCUGAGUAGUUUGUUUUGCUUAAUCUAUUGCCCUUCUUUCUGAAGCUUGCGAGAUAGAGCUCAAGUGGAGCAAUUGAUUCGCUAUAUUGUUGAAGAGACUCCAGAGGAUGCUGAGAGGAAGCGGACCUUUAAGUAAAAUCGUUGCUUCUUUGGCAUAAAUUAUUUCUUAUAACUCUUUUAUUAGCUGAUUUAUUUUUUCAAACCUGUUACAUUUUUCUUUUUGCAGGUUUCCUUUUGUAGCAUGUGAGAUAAUUACAUGUGAAGUUGACAUCAUACUCAGGACCUUAGUAGAGGACAAAGAGGUGGGUGAUAUAUAUUUCAUUGUUAGGCUUUGAGAGUUCCAUUUUAAUACUCAGUUCCUUCUAACUUGUGUUUAUCUUUUUGUUUCUCGUUCCUGUGCAGUUGAUGGACCUACUGUUCUCUUUCCUAAAACCUGACCGCCCUCAUAGCACAUUGUUGGCAGGAUACUUCAGUAAGGUACUUUUUUUCCCCCCAUCUGCCUAUUCGUAUCUUCUGAAUUAUAUGUACCAACAAGACUAAAUUUUAUAACCAAUGAUUUUUUAUACUGUUUAUGUAACUGAAAUUUUAUGCCAAUCUUUUUAUCUUGAUACAUGUUUGAUAAAAUGAUCUUUUGUGUUGGUGCUAGGUUGUUAUAUGUUUGAUGCUGCGCAAGACAGUCCCUCUUACGAAUUACGUUCAGGUACCCUUCAUUCAUGACUGUGGACAGAGCAUAUUUCUUGCUGUAUACAUACUUUUUGUGGAGCAUUUUUCUGUUUCUAAGGUUGGAAUAGAUGGUUAAGUGUUGGAAUUUUGUGGCAGAGAAUCUCUUCUAUUUUUUUUUUAACUCAUUUCAAUUUAGGCAGAUUUUUUUUAAUAUUUAUUUAUUUAUUGAUAAAAAACCAUCCUUGAAGGGUGGGAGCAAGGUCUUAGCCCUAACUUGUCAAUUAAAUUACCUGAACCCAUUUGCAAUGUAGUAGGGGUAGAUACCCAGAUAUAUUAUUAUAGCUGGGUAUCAUGGCAGAUAUGUUAUUAUAGCUGGGUAUCAUGGCUGAUAUGUUAUUAUCAUCAUUUGUUUUUUGUGGGGUGGGGAUUGUGGGGACUUUCCUGGAAAUGAUCUUGUGUCAUCAAUCUGGUGACUCCAGACCUUUAUUUUCCACCUAAGAAGUGAAGGAUGUACUAUUAGUACAGUACCAUUUUUCUUUAUGGCCAGGAAUUGUUUUUGCUGAAAUUCAAUUUAUCGUUUUAGUUUUUAUAGCACUUCAUCAAUGCCAUUUGCAUCAGUAACUGAGAUUUGCUGCUUGAAAAUUUGUAGAUUUUAAUCUUAUUUUUUAUUAUCACUCGCCUUAAAUAUUUUGCAUCAGUAUUUCAUGCAAGUAUGAUGACAUUUUCCCUUGUUAUCUAGGGUAAUCCAGAAAUAAUUGGCCAACUUGUCGAUCUCAUUGGCAUUACAUCUAUCAUGGAGGUCAACUAUCUCUCUAAUUUAACCUUUUCUUUCCACAUUUUCUGUUGGCAUGCAUGUGAUGGUGAGCUUGCCUCGUAUAUUGACUUAUAUACAGAUACUGAUUCGGUUGAUUGGUGCUGAUGAGAGUGUGUAUUCGAACUAUGCGGAUGCGAUGCAAUGGUUAGAAGAGACAAAUGUUCUUGAGAUGAUUGUAGAUAAGUUUAGCUCGUCGGUACGUGUUGAUUUUUUCAUGAGCUAUUUCUUGUCAUUUUUCCUUUUCUGCUUAAUACAGAGUAAUCUCUGUUUGAUACGGACCUCCUUUGUUGGCUUUGUAAUGAAUAGUUAGUAUAUGAUCUUUGAAGCAGCAGCCAUUCAAUCCAUUGGAAAAACAAGGAGAAAAGAGUGGAUCCUAGAUAGAUAGGACUUUGUCCAAGAGUAUGGAUUGUAUUGUAAUAGUAUAGAUUUGGAUAUCAGGAGAAAAUUUUUGAUAUGCACGUUUGAAAAUGGGUAAUUUAAGAGACAUAGUGACUGUUUGAUUUGGUAAGACCAAAGUAUUUGGCUCGUGAUCUUGCGAAUAUUAAUUACUUCCUACUUACAUAUUAGACCGUUCUUUUGUCACCGUUUUACAGUUGGAUUUCUUAGAAGUAGCAAAUUUGCAGCAUUAACACAUAUUUUCAAGUAAUUGUGCUUAUAUUUGACUAUAACACAUUUUCACCUUUCUUGGAGAAAAUUAUUUAGUUCCUGUUUUAUUAUCUAAAGGGUUGAAUAUUUGUCCCUGUGCAUGCUGAUAAUUCAAAGAUGAUAUUGUUCCAAUUUUUGAUAAGCUUGGGUUCCUUGGAUACUCUUUUCCUAAUUACCAUAUUUAAAUAGGACUCUCCUGAAGUGCAUGCCAGUGCUGCUGAAAUUCUUUGUGCCAUAACCCGAUACGCCCCUCCUGGACUUGCUACGAAGAUAUGUAGCCCGAGGUAUCUGUUGGUUCAGGCAUUUUUAGUGUCGGCUUGUCAAAGCUUCCCAGGACACUUGUUUUCUUCCUAAAUUUGGCAUAUAAAUAUUUUCUAAUUUGUAUUUUUCCUUUGCUUGUAAUACACAGUUUUGUUGGGAGACUAUUUCGCCAUGCACUUGAAAAUUCAAGACCUAAAUCUGUACUGGUUCACUCGUUAUCGGUAUGCAUAUCCUUGUUAGAUCCUAGGAGACUAGUGUCAGCUUCCAACCAAGCAUUUCGAAGCCAACUAAGCCAUGGGACAUUGGUUACUGCUAGUACCGAGACGGUUGAUGGUAUGCUAGAGAGCUUAGGUAGGUGGUUAUUCUUCUUUUUUAAAAAAAUUAAUUUAUUUCACUAAUAAUGUGAAUGAUAUCCUUAUGUAGAUUGACAUGGAUUUCUGUGCCUUGACAGUCCUUGCUGCAUAAGUUUGUCUGCACAUUUUCUUUGUAUCUUCAGCCUCCAGGGCAUAUACUAUACCCUCUGAAUUUAAUAAAUUUUUUGGUACCAGACAACAGUAUAUCAUCAUAUACUAGCUUAUGUAUAGAAUAUUUGUUUAGACAUUAUGUGCGUGAAGUCUCGAAUAUUCGCAAUGUAAGGCCUCUGCAAUUGCCACUAUGAACCAUUGACCAUGUAACUGAUCUAAUUUAGUAAAUAUCUAAGAUGACAUUCAUAUAAUUAUUCCCAUGCAGAAAUUUGCCGAACUAGUGCUGCUUACAUGUACUCAUAUGGUCUCUUUUCCGUAGUUACCUGUGAAAUUCUGAUUAAAGCAUUUUAUUUCGGCUCUAUAUGUUUCACUAUUGUCAUCGCACUGCAGGUGAUUUACUGAAGUUGUUGGAUGUUUCUUCUUCUGAGGAUAUCUUGCCUACCACGUAUGGAUACUUAAAACCUCCCCUUGGAAAACAUCGUCUGAAGGUAUGAAUUGUCAUAGAUUUCUGGCUGUGUACUUAAACCUCCUCUAGGCUUUGACAGAGAUCCAUGUGAAGAUGCAUUAGGUAGAUGAUAGUUUGUGCUGCGAGGAAUCAUGGUAUCCCAUCAGUGCUGGUAUUGGAUCUUAAACACUGUCAUCACACUUUGAUGUGUGAAAAGGGACAAUAUAGGGGCUAAGUUUGACAUGGAUUAGAUUUUAGUAUGUUGGACCGUCCUAGGUUACAGGAAUAAUGUUAAAGUUGGUUUUUCUAGUAUCAAAUUCUGUUUAUACUUUUUCUCUUUGUUGCAUUAAUUUUUAUCUCUUUUCCGUUGUUAAUCGGAAUUGAAAUUGAUUGAUUUUCUUGUUUUCUAGAUUGUAGAGUUCAUCUCUGUUUUGCUGGCAAUCGGCAGUGAAGCUGCUGAAAAGGAACUAAGCCAGCAAGGAGCAAUAAAACGUGUUAUAGAUUUAUUUUUUGAGUAAGUGCAUUACUGUGCGUACUUUAUUAUCUGACUGGUUCUGAAUCCACUUCUUGGAAGAGAAUAAGUCUCUUGAAUUUUUUUUUUUUAACUUCGAAUUGUAUAGUUUAUAUAAUGCUUAUUCCAUAUAUAUCAUGAUUUUAUAGGUACCCAUAUAAUAACUUUUUACAUCACCACGUGGAGAAUGUUGUUGGAUCAUGUAUAGAGAGUAAGCGGAGUUCGCUUAUCGAGCAUGUUCUGAAUGACUGUGACAUUGUUGGAAAAAUACUUGAAGCUGAAAAUCAUUCUACCUUGUCAACUGAUUCUGCUAAGGUAUCUAGCUGCCACCAUAUUUAGACAAUGAUUAUACUUUCGUUUAUUCUAUCUUCUUUUCUCCACCAUUUUCCCUUCCUUUUUUGUUUCCUCCAGCCAAUCAUGCUAUUUGUGCCCUAAGGACUGGUGGGGUUUGUUGAACCUUUUUUGUGCAGCCUACAGUUCCAUCACAGGACAAGUCACCUCCAAAGAUUGGAAAUGUUGGUCACAUGACUCGCAUGGCUAACAAGCUUAUUCAGUUGGGAAAUAACAACAGCACAAUUCAGACACACUUGCAGGUUCUAUUAUCUUGCAAGUAAAUCUUUUUAAUCGAUUAUUAACCUUGAAGUUUCUGACGAUGUGAUAAAUGUGAUGUCAAGAUACCUGUGUUCCAUUAACUCGUAGCUGAUGCAAUUAAAGAAUAUUCUUUUUUAGCAUUUCUCUUUUAGCAAUUCACAUUUCUCUACUUCUUUUCAUAUGCGUUUGCAUUUAGUUAUUUCUUGCAAUUCAAGUGAAUUUUAUCAAAAAUCUCUCUCUGCAAAGUUCAUAAGCCCCUCUGCUUCCAUUGAAGAUGUAAAAGUUGUUUAAUAUGCAAGAACUACCAUUGUUAUUGUUCUCACUAUAUUAGUGGCAAAUAUUGAAUGGUUGUUGAAAUUGAUUUGCAGGAGAAUGGUGCAUGGGUUGAUUGGCAUACCAAUGUCCUGCUUAGGCGUAAUGCAGUGGAAAAUGUUUAUCAAUGGGCUUGUGGGUAGGUUCUUCUGCCUCUUGCCAAGCUUUUUCAAUGUUAUACCCGUAGAGGCAUCUUCCAAAUAAAUAGCAUUUUAAUUGUAUAUGGCGUUGGACCCAUGACCCAAAUGUGAUGAGGCGCAGCCAUGUGUUUAAAGAAUUGAGGAAUAAUAUAGUGUUAUAGAUGUUUCUACCGUAUCUGUGGAACUUGGCAAUCCUUCUCUGCUUUAACUUCAGCUGCUGGAAAGUUACCCUGAAUUUCUGAUAAUUUACUGUAGGCGGCCAACUUCGUUGCAAGAUCGAGGUAGGGAUAGCGACGAUGAAGACUUCCGCGAUAGGGAUUAUGAUGUAGCAGCACUUGCUAACAACCUGAGUCAGGCAUUCCGAUAUGGGAUUUACAGUAAUGAGGAUAUUGAAGAGGUAGGUAUCCGUCCUGUUGACAAUUGGCUUUUUGUCUCCUGUAUUUUUGCUUACUUGCUGCUAAUUUGAAACUCUGAUAAAUUACAAUGGCAACUUUCUAACGAUUGCUUACCUGCUGCUAAUUUGAAACUCUGAUAAAUUACAAUAGGCAACUUUCUAACGAUCAUUAUAACUUUCCGUUAUGAGCUUGGAUUGUGAUGAAAAGUUGAAAACAAGUAAAGGGUUUCCACAUCUUAAUAGAUAAAUGUGGGUAAAGAAGCUAUUCAAACUCGAUUUUGAUCUGGACUCAGAUUACAAGUGAUUUAUGAUAGUUUAGUGGAAAUAAAUGUAAUUUCCUUACAAGAGAGAGAGAAGGGAUAAGAAGGUGUCAUACAUAGACACAAGCAAGUGAAAAUUGGUUGUGAUAUCCUACACAAACAUUGUAAAAGUUGAGAUAAUCUGUUUUUAUCACUAUUACCUUCCUACACACACAUUGUAAAAAUUGAGAUAAUCUGUUUUUAUCACUAUCACCUUCCUCUUCAUUUGUAUUGCUUAAUUACCAGUAAGUACAUUGUGAUCUAAUUCUGUCUAACAUUUUAUUCAAUAAAAAAAAGAAACUUCUUUACAUUUUGGUGUUGGUGGGUGCAGGCUCAUGGUUCGCUUGAACGUGAUGAUGAGGUAUACUGAAGGCUGUGAUUUGCUUGCGAUUUUUUUAUUCUUGGCCUGUUUGUUAAUUGCUUUUUCUACGUCACUUUUUCCCAAUCAUUUGAUUUAAUGUUUUGUAGGAUGCUUAUUUUGAUGACGAAACUGCUGAAGUUGUUAUCUCUUCUCUUCGUUUGGGUGAUGACCAGGACAGGUAACCUAUAUUCUUGUAUGAGCCUUAAAAAUGUCAAUUAGUAUAGUACUUUUUCUAGAACCAACUGCCAACUGCCAACUACCAACUACCAAGUACUGAACUGACUAAAAUUUCUUCUGCAGCAGCUCACUCUUCACAAACUCAAACUGGUUUGCUUUCGAGGACGACAAAGCAGCUAUUGACCGUUCAAUCGGCUCCCUCGCCUCACCCUCAUCUAAUUCGGACAAUGCUUUUCCAAAUACAGACGAGUCCGACGAGGUCGUUCUCGGUGACAAAGAUGACUUGUUUGGCAAUUCCGCAUCCUCCCUUGCGUCUAACUCAGAGACAGCUUCUGGAGAAGCUGGAAGCGCAGCUUUAACAAAUGGUCCCAUCAAGGAGCACAAAGAUGACACAGCACCACUGAGUAUAAACCAAGGCGAGCAGUCACCAGAGUGGGUUGAAUGGAGAGAGACAUCGGAACCAGGUGAAGUGUCCAAGGGCCCAGAUCCUGAGGUUUCAAAUGGUGAAGUUGAACAAGAGAAAGAUAAAAAUACUGAAAAAUGUUCCCCAGAAAUGGCAAAUGGCGAUGAAGAAAAUGGGUCUCCUGAAUCCAACGUUGAGCUUAAAUCGGAAGUUGAGGUUAAACCAGAUGUUGAGGUCAAACCAGAAGUUGAGGUUACUGAAACAUUAACCGUCAACGGUGUAGACGGUAGUGAGAGUGCUGAUUCAUCUGAAUCUCCUGAACCUGCUAAUUCACCGGCCAAUGAAGUUGCUCCGGGGGAUGCAGAGAAUGAGAAGGCUAUUGAGAACGAGAAGUGAAAUGGAGUUAUGGCAGCUACAAUUUCGCGGUCCAAAACAGUGGUGCACGGAUGGCCCUUGUCAGAACACUAAUCUACUAAUGAAUGAAGGCUUUUGCUUUAUUUGGGCUAAGCUGUUGUAUUAUUUUGCCCUCUGUGGUUGUCGCUUGCCACUGUACAAAAUGAGCGCCCUCACCAACCCUAGGAAGCACCGGCAAGAUCGUUCUGAAGUACUUUUCCUCUGUUGUUUUCUCAAUUCUUUUUUCCCCCCUUUUAUUUUUCUUUUCCUUUUUUUUUUUUUCCUUUAUUCUGUUUUUGAAUUGAUUGGUGCCAAAUUUCAUCUGGCUGGUAGCUUAUAUUGUUUUUAUUUUCCAUGUACUUUUUUCUGCUUGUUGCUUGAACUGUUUAUUUAGACGGCUCUUCUCGAUUUCGCCUACGGUAGGAUUUCUGUACUCAUAUUGUCUCGGUUUGUGUACUCAUAUUGUCUCUCUAGCUCCGGACUGAGUUCUCAACAUGGUUUGUGGCAUUGGUUUUACAAGUGAUCAGUUACGGUUGUCGCUGUGCUAGUGGAUGAUGCAUCAAGAUUGUGUGUUCUGUUUCAUCUUCUUAAUCAUUAUUCAGUUGUUCUCCUCAUUGAAGAUGCAUGUUUCGUACCUCCAUAUCCUAGUUGUGUUUUGAUUCUCUUUGUUGGUCGCUAGUUGUGUGGGGGGGGGGAAGCCAUAUAUAUGCGCCUCAUCGCUCGCGGUUUACAGGUGUUACGAGUCAUCGAACUCGCAGUUGAGCUGCAGAAUCAUAAGAAGCGUCCGGAACAUCGAUAUCAAACUCUUACCUCCCGAAAAUUUGAGGAGGAUACGGAAUUACUCACAAGGAAAGAGUGGGGGACUCGGAGAUGAUUUUUUUAAAAAAAUAUUUUUAAAAAACAGUUUCCGAGCGAAGUCAAAUAUUAGAUAAAAAAAUUAACUAAUUGGUCGACAGUAUAAAUGUUUUUACAUUUAAUCCCGCAUACUUUAUUAUUAUUAUUAUAAUUAGGACUCAAGCAAGGGGUGAUGACUUUAGCACCCCCUAAACCUACCGCUCCCGACUCUCUCUCCUCCCGACUCUUUCGCAUGCGAUCACCUUCCUUCUCUGAAGCGUCGACACCCGCCCGAAAACCCUAGCUAGCGCAAAACCCUACCUAGGGUUCUCUCCUCAUCCUCCUGCACCACGCACCAAUGGACGACCCCGAGGGCGCCCUCAGCUUCGACUUCGAGGGUGGCCUCGACGCCACCGCCGCCGCCGCCGCCCAAGUCCCCCCUCUCCACCACUCCGCGGCCACCUCCUCCCUCGCCGCUUCCGACCCCUCCGCCGCCGCCGCGGCGUCUUCCGUCGCGGGAUCCGUCGCUCCCUCCGGCCCCGGCGGCGGCGCCCCCGCUGAUCUGCCCGGCGGCGGCGCCGGGCGGCGGAGCUUCCGGCAGACGGUGUGCCGGCACUGGCUCCGUGGGCUCUGCAUGAAGGGGGACGCGUGCGGGUUCCUCCACCAGUACGACAAGGCGAGGAUGCCCGUGUGCCGCUUCUUCCGCAUGUUCGGCGAGUGCCGCGAGCAGGAUUGCGUCUACAAGCACACCAACGAGGACAUCAAGGAGUGCAACAUGUAAUGAUCCCUAAUUCCCCCUCCUUUUCCCUCUUCUCCCUCUUUUCCUGUUUGUAAAGUAGUUUUUGUGUUUUGUUUGAACUAACUGUAGUGGAUGGACCUGGUUCUUAGAUGAUUUCCUGUUUGUUAUGCUUUUGGGAUUGUGAUUUAUUCAGGAUCAACUGCUGUUUUAGAAAUUUGAAACAAUUUGGUUACUUGUGGAGCAGUUUGUGAAUUUAGAUGCUGGCUCUGAAUGAAUAAGAUUUCAUGUUGAGAAGGAGAAAACAAUAGUCUUUAUGUAAACUAUUGUGCUGAGUAAAUCCUGUUAGUAUUAUUCUCUUUAGAGAGUAGUAAAACCAAAUAAGUUAAUCAUCAUUUCUUCUUCUUCUUCUUCGCUUCGUUUAAAUUUAUGAAGACCCAUCAACUUUGCUUUACUUUUUAUCUGAGUUAUUAAGAUUUUGGAUGCACAAGAAUGCAUAAGACACUUACAACAAUAUUUGAUUAGAGCUGUAGAAUCUAAGAUUCUGAUGUUAUAUUCUACUGCAGGUACAAAAUGGGUUUCUGCCCAAAUGGCGCGGAUUGCCGAUAUAGACAUGCAAAGCUGCCUGGACCUCCACCCCCUGUUGAAGAAGUCUUUCAGAAGAUUCAACAGCUGAGUUCUUUUGGUUAUGGAUCUUCAAACCGAUUUUUUCAGCAUAGAAACAAUAAUUACAACCAGCAAGGAGAGAGGCCUCAGUUGCCACAAGGUCCUGAGGUAGCUAACCAGAAUACAGCAGCAAAACAGCCAACAGCAGAACAGUCCAAUGUACAGCAACCUCAAACACAAAAUCAGCAGUCUCAACAACAACAACAACCACAGCAACAGCAAACUACUGAGAAUCAGGCGCAGAGUGUUCCAAAUGGCUUGCCGAACCAAGCCACUAGAACUGCAUCUCCCCUUCCUCAAGGUCAAUCUAGGUGUGUCUGGAGUUCAUAGAUUUACUAAAGUUUGUAAAGAACUUUUUUUUGUAGAAUUUUAUGGUUAAACAAUUUCUGAACUCUGAAGGCUCGACUCUACUUGUAUUGAGCUUUCAUGGAGCCUGCAUAUUAACUUCCUGAUUUGUUUGUUUUAUUAUAGAGUGUUAAUAAAUGAGACGAGAAUCAUAUUAUUUGUUUUCUUAAGCCUUGGUUUGAGAGAAGGUUGAAUUAUCGUAUUUCUCUGCUUCUGUAAUUAGUUGAGAGUUAGUGGGGCCAUCCGUGGUGCAUAAAUACAUGGCUGCAGAGAGAAGGCUUAAAUUAUGUGGAUGGAAAACAUUGUUUGUACGCUGCCAAAUUUCUUGCGUUUGAAUUCGAGGUUGUUCCUUGUAAACCGCUGUUUGUUGUUAAUGAUUAAGCUGAAACUAUCACGGUUGGAAAACAUUAUUAGUCAUUACAAUUUUAUCGAUGGCAGUUAGAGUUUGAAUUGUACACAUUUUAUGUCCUGAUAUGCUGAUUCGUGAAUGCAUCUGCAGGCUGUCAUAUGUCUCUUUGUUAAUCAAAAUUCUAGCGAAACUAGAUUACAUUUCACAAAGCCCUUUUUUUCUUGAUGUUGUUAUUUUGCUAGCUUUAAAAUGUUUUUUAGCCUAUCUCAUUUCUAACUACUGCAGGGAGCAUUGUAAAACUGCUCUUUUUUUUUCUUUUUUUCUUUUUUUUUUUUCUGUUUUUGUGAAACUUGUUAUGAUAAGAUCUGAUUGUAAGUGUAAUUAGUAACCUUUUGUGGGGACUUAGAUCCUUUAGGAAACUCGUUGUAGAUAAGUUUCGUUGAAAAGGCUAUAAAGUUCCUAAUGCAAAUUUCUACCUAGUGCUUAUCCUUACUUUUUGCUUUACUGAUAGUUGAAUAUUUAUUUUGGUGGCUGAGCCAUUUUGCGUCUAGUGCAAAUCUUUCAAUAGAUGGUUCUAUGUCAAGAUUAAAGAGAUGUUUGUGUUAGUUAGCUUGACAGGCAGCAUUAAUUUUAAAAUUAAAAAUUACAUCUCUAUAAAGCAACAAUUAUAGGUCUUUUGCCUGUAUGCUAUACCUAUCAGAAUUUGAGUAGUUAAAAGCAGCAUUUUGGAAAUUUUCUGUCUGGGAUGAGUAUAUUAAGAUGAAUAUGUGGAUUUUACUAGAGAAUAGGGAAGAAAUAAUUGUCUGUAAUAAGUCACGUAUAGAAGCUAACAAGAUACAGAGGAUAAGUUCUAUGAAAUUUGAUUGAGAUAGUUUUAUUCAACGUAGAUCAAAUAGUGCUUCCAGUAGUUCACAAAGAAAUGUGCCUUGAGAGUAAUGAGAAUGAUUUGUCAAAGAAUCUUGCCUAAUGUAAACAUUUAUUGAGGAAAUACACUUCAAUAGCCGGUACUAGAACCAUAGUUGUUGCUCUUGUUGUUUUGUUUGCUUGCUUGUUUGCAUGAUAAUAAUACUGUUAAUUUAAUCUUGAAAUGACCUAGGAUAGUAAUUUGUCUUCUUAAUCCAAGAUCAAGUUAGAGUUGAUUUUCAGUUGUGCUUUAGAUCAGGCCGCAUCUACCUUGUAUUGGUGUGCUUCACGUUAAUCCAAGGUCAGUUUGGAGUUGAUAUUUAGUCGUGCUUUACAUCUGGCUUCUGUCAUCUUAUAUUAGAAUACCUGCUUCCAAUUCAAAAUUUGCAGUUUUAUUAGAACCUUUAUUGCGUUUUCUUAAAUUCUGCAACACAUCUGUGGUUAGAUUUUUGCUGCAAUCAGUUGAUGCUUUUCUAACCAGCAUUUUUGGUUGAAAUAUGUAAAACUAGGUAUUUUAUUGUUAAAAGUUGCAAUCGAGAAAAUCUGGAAAUAUCGGUCCAGCAGGGUAUUUGGGCAACUCAAAGGAGUAAUGAGGCUAAACUUAAUGAAGCUUUCGAAUCAUCAGAGAAUGUCAUUUUGAUAUUCUCAAUCAACAGAACUCGUCAUUUUCAGGUUGGUUAAAUUUGUUGCAUCAUACCAACCCUUAAGAUUUUUUUUUUUUCUUUCAAACAUAAAAUCUGAAGUUAUACAAUUUUUUGACAUAAAUGCUGAGUUGUGACUGAAUUCACAUUAUUACUCAAGGGUUGUGCAAAGAUGACUUCAAAGAUUGGUGGAUUUAUUGGUGGAGGAAACUGGAAAUCUGCUCAUGGAACUGCUCAUUAUGGUCGGAAUUUUUCGGUAAAAUGGCUUAAGGUGUGAUUAAUUUGAUGGUCUUUGCAUGGUCUAUCUUGACAUUAUUUAAUUUUUAAAUUUACGAGUUAAAAACCAAAUUUCUGAGCAUUUAUUGUGCCUGCAAUAGCUUUCUAUUUUUGUCUGUUAUCCCUUUUUUCAAUAAUUACAAGUGCAUAUCUGUUUGCAUGUCUAGAGUUUCUGGAGUCAAAAUACAUGUAGUUUAUGAUUAAUAAAAAAAUUCUUUUUCUUUGUUCACUAGUUACUACAAAUCAUUCUUUUGAUAUUUUCCUAUAAUCUACUCAUGGUGGUCGCUACCUUUCUUUACUAUGCUGUAAAAGUUAUUUACCUUUUCUUAGCAAGGAAAGUUGAACGUCUAAAUUUCAUGCUUCUAGUCCAUGUAUUGUAGUGAUGUAUGAAAAAGUGCAUUUUGACCAAUGAUCCUCUAAAUUAAAGUUUUAAGAUAAGAUGAUGCCUUAUUUAGGCACUAAUUAUUCUCAUUCUGUGAUGUUUAAUACUUAGGCUCCUGUACUACCAGAUAAUUCUUUUUUCUCCCCCUGGGAAAAAAAAAGUAGAAUUCUUCUGUUAAUUUUCUUUUAUUUUGUUUCUGACAUGAUUUUGCUCUGCAGCUGUGCGAGUUGUCCUUUAAUAAAACCCAUCAUCUCAGGAAUCCAUACAAUGAUAACCUACCAGUAAAGGUACGCUUUGGUAUUUGGUAAUAUGAAUGUCGACAAGACUCAGUUCUCUCUCCGAGUUUUAACUUAUAUGCAUACAUAUUUAUUCAUCCUUCCUCGAAAGUUCUGAAUUCAUAUUAGGGCAAUUUGAGAUAAGGACAUGGGUUUGGCUAUUUUAUUCAAGAUAUUUAUCUCGUUAUCUAUCUGGUUAAAAUCUUAGCAUUAAAUAAAUUCACUCUAAAAUUUUUGUACGAUAAAUUGCUUAUAACAUGGUAGCUAUCCUUAUUUUUGCUUCAUGAAUUAUAAAGUUCAUUACUAAUGUAAUUGUUCACCUCAACAUAUAAUGGUAUAGACUACUAACAAAAUAUCAAAUAUCGACCGUCUCCAGCAGCAAUGAUGGAUUUCUUAACUUUUGCAGAUCAGCCGAGACUGUCAAGAGUUGGAACCUUUUAUUGGCGAACAAUUGGCUUCUCUGCUUUAUCUAGAGCCAGAUAGCGAACUCAUGGUAUGCUAGUAUUUUGUUUGCAUAUUUCCUGUAUGCAGAAUUUAUUAUUGCAUCAAACUCUCUGGAUUUAAAAAUUUCAAAUAUUAUGUCCACUAUGGGCUUGGGCUGGAAAACCAUCUUUAUGUAUACAUUUAACUUAUCUAUAUAUGUGUCUCCCGAUUGCAAGGUUGACAUUUGCUUACACAGCUUCAUGAGGUUAGCUACGACAUUAGCUGCAAGAGGCAGGAUUACUUGAUGCUUUUUUUCAAUAUAAUAAAUAAGAAUUCUCUUUUCUUAGGAACCCUGGUGGUCUUUUUAAGCAUAUGUUGCAUGCAGAGUCCUCUUUCUCAUAAUCAGUCGUUGCACCAUAUUUCCAUAUCAUUAUUACAUAAUAUUAGUGUUAGAGUUGACCAUAAUUUCUCAAAACCUGACCUCUUCAUAAAUUAGCAAUUAUUGUAGUAGAUUCUUUUGUUAGGACUUAGGAGUUUGUAAUCUGCGCUCAUGGUGUACUCACUCAUGUUAGUAAUUUACCAGAAUGUAAUUCCCUUUCCUAUAUGUGUUUAUAGCUGUAUAUCAUUGCAAAUUCAAGCCAAUUUGUUGUCUAAAUAUCUGUACACGAUUUGUUCGGUCAGAACAGAAACUUCAAAAUCUCCUCUAAUUGGUUUCCUUGCAAAUGAGUUUGCCAAAUUUGAAAACCCUAUCUUAUGUAUGAUGCUAUGCACUAUUCAGGCAAUGCUUGCCGCAGCUGAGUCUAAGCGUGAAGAGGAAAAGGCGAAGGGGGUCAAUAAUGAUGAGACAGCUGAUAAUCAAGAUAUUGUGCUCUUCGAGGACAACGAAGAAGAGGAGGAAGAAGAAAGUGAGGAAGAAGAGGAGGGCAACAGCCAGGGCCCACAGGGUCGGGGGAGGGGAAGGGGCGCGAUGAUGUGGGGACCGCAUAUGCCAAUGGGAGUCCGAGGUGGGGGUCCAAUGCUCGGAGUUCGUGGUUUCCCUCCGGUCAUGAUGGGCGCAGAUGGGUUUGGCUACAAUGAUGGCUUUGGCAUGCCUGAUCUCUUUGGCGUCCCUCCUAGGGUUUUCCCACCUUUCAACGGCCCGAGAUUUUCUGGUGAUUUCUCCAGAACUGCCCCGAUGCCAGGGAUGCUCUUCCCUGGUCGGCCCCCUCACCCGGGGUCUGUCUUCCCGAUGGGUGGGCCGCUCGGGAUGAUGAUGGGGCCCCCUAGUCGGGCACCGUUCAUGGGGGGAAUGCCGGGCAUGCCAAUGGGUGGACUGGGUCGGUCCAACCGCCCGAUGAUGCACCCGCCGCCCCCUCUUCCGAAUAGCCGGGGCCCGAGAAGGGACCAGAGGAGGCCGGGGAGUGAUCGGGGCGGCGACAGGUAUGAGAUGGGAUCAGACCUAGGGAGCAGGGGUCAGGAUACAGCAGACGAGAUGGGCUAUCAGCACGACACAAAGAUGCAAUCCGACGAUAAGUUUGGCGGCACCAGAAAUAACAGCUUCCAGAACGAGGACAGCGAGAGCGAGGACGAUGCGGCGCCGCGGCGGUCGAGGCACGGGGAGGGCAAGAGGAGGCGGCGGGCCUCCGAGGGUGAAUCUCCGUCAGAAUCUGAACAUCAGAACCAGUGAUGGCGUUUCCUUUCUUUACUUUUAUCCAGAGAUUUUUUUUUUUUCCCUCUCUCUCUCUCUGGGUAUUGCACUUCUCAUCAUAUUUCUUUUCUUGUUCUAUGACCUGUAAUACUUAUUAACAGUCUCCAUCACUGGAGCCUGUUGUUUGCUGAAGUUAGGCUGAAACUCAACUAAAUAGGAAACAGAGUUACGUACUAUGGAUCUGAUUUGAGGGUGACUGAGGUGGGUGGAUGAAUUUUGUGAUUAGUAAUAUUCGAUGUGUAUAAUAACAUCAAAUCACAGCAAAGAAUACCCAGAGAUGAUUGAAAUUAUUAUUAAAUUACUGGAAAUUGUGUAGUAAGGUGAACUGUAAACUUGCUGUGUACUCUCAAAAUUUCUCCUGUUUUGAGAGCUUACCACGAUAUUUCUCUCAAAAUGAUACUGUUUUCUACUUGAUUUCUUUCUUGUAACAAAUGUGCAUGUCCUCAUUAAGAAUUUAUGCAAGAUAAAUGAUAUUUAAUCGCAUCAAUCUUUUUCUCCUAGCUUGGAUUCGCAUUUUCUCUUUGUAAUGAUUUGGUGAAAUGGCUUAACAAUGGCUUAGGUUGUGUUAUGUGUGGAGUUGAGAAGGUGAAUGGUAGAGCAAAUUAUCCAGUGAUAAAAUGUGGGUUAUUGAAAUUUUCUUUUGUACUUGCUACUUAGAAGCUUGCUUUAGUCGCUCUGUUUCAUGAUUUCUGAAAAAAUAUAUGUCACUUGAAAGAUGAUUUAUUUAUUUAUUUUAUUUUUCCCCCAAAAUGUCCUUAUUGUCUUAUUAUUUCUCUCUUUUUUUUUUCAGAAUUUUCUGAAGGGGAUUGGGUUCGGAAUUUUAUUGACUAUUUUCGUUGCAAUUUCCUCAUGAAUUGCACAAUUACAUCUGAAUAAUAAGACGUGGUUGAAUCACUGCGAGUGACUAUAUUAAUAACUUAUUUAUACAAUGUUAGAUAAGAAAAAUCGUGUGCUUCGUAAACAAGCUAAGAUAGUGGAUAUAUAUAUGAUGCAAAAUGCACACAGAAUGAUAUGCUAUCUAAAUUGACCUAGGCUCCUAUACUUUCGAAAAAACGAAAGUUUUCGUAUUUGUAAAUUAUUUUUUAUGAUGAAACAUUUGAUUCAGUUAUCGAUUUCGUUAGACUAGACAUAAUCUAUGCUAUUGAAACUAUUUAGAAAUUAAAUUUUAUAAAUUUUUGACUUUAUUUGUCUAAUGAACGAGAACGAGUAGCUUAAAAAUAAACGACUGAAAAUACAAAUUUUAUAAAAAAUAGUGAUAAAAGAUUUAAAUUUCAAAUCAGAAUUAUUAAUUUUGCUAUUGAUGUUAAAUAAAAAUUUUUAUUAAAGAUUUAUGUAAUUUAGAUUGUUCUACAUCGUUGAAUUUGAAAACAUGUGACAUUAAUUAUUAAAAAAAAUUAAUUUUGAGACCGUUUGAUCACUUGAUAAAUACCGUCAAAAAAUUAUGAAAUUUAGUUUUUAGAUAAUUUCAAUAGCGUAGAUUAUUUCUAACGAAAUCUAUCGUCGAAUUGGAUAUGAAAAUAAUUUUUAAGUACAAACGCCUCAAUACUUUGGAAGUACGAAACGUGCUCAUCUAAAUUAUUGAAUUAUUAAAUCAGAUAAUGAUUUGAGUACCUACACCCUACCCGAUAACUUACCGAUAUAAACCCGAAUCCGAGUCCAAUGUAGACAGGAUCCAAACUCAACCUGAACCGGAACCGGUUUACAUUGUGGUGCGGUUAACUCGAACCGCGUCGAACCAACUAUAUAAACGACUUCGUCUCCACCCCCCACGCCCCAUCUCCAUUCAUAAACCCUAAUUCCCAAACCUAACGGGAGGUGCGCUGCUCCUUUUUCACGACGAUUAAAAUCUCUCUUUUUUCUCUAUUUUCAUUGGAUUCUUAAUUUCUAUCCUUUUUUUUCUUCCAGGUUUCAAUCGACCGUGAGAACAAUGGCGGCGUAAGUAGACUGAUCUUUUAAUCUUGGUUACUCUUUUAUUGAGAUUUUCUCGUUAUUUUAGUAAUCUGUGUGUAAUCUACACUACAACUUCAAUCAUGCAGUUGUUGCGAUAUGUGGGGAUGAAAAAGUUGGGAUCUUUGGAUUAAAAAUGUGUGUUUUGUUUCUUUAUUCUGGUUCGAGCGUAUGUUUUGUUGAAAAUAUGUGAAAAAUCAGUUGAUGAGCUUAUGAGUGUUACAUAUAAAUUUGUUAAUUUUAAAUGUUGGCUUUAUAUUUUUAUGUUAUUUUAGAAGAAUUAUUAUAUAGAGCUAAGUUAUUGAAAUUGGUAUCUGGAAUGUAAUUUAACCGGAGUUUACACUAGAUUCUGCUUUUGAUUGAGUAUAUUGAAUGGUAGGGUGAAUUAGAUUCUUUAUAUCUAUUCUAUCAGUUGUUAGAUUGUUCGGUCAAUAAUAAAUUGCAAUAGCAACUUCUUAGAAUUUCUGAUUCAGAAUGCAAUUUUUUCUUUUGUUUUUUUUCCCCCUUCCACGCAAUUAAAACAAACCUCAACCCAUGCUUUGCAUUUUUCCUUCUUUAGUGUCGCCUCUAUGUCCGCACUGAAAUAAAAUGUUUUACAUCUAAGCUGUGAUAAGAGGCAUUAUUCGUGUCUAAACUUGUCGACGGCACUGCCAUUUUGUACCUCCUGAGAUUUUCUUAGUUGCUUUUGAUUCAGUAGUAGCAUUAUUAUUUGUAUCUCCUGAGAUUUUCUUAGUUGCUUCUGAUUCAGUAGUAGUUUCAUCUCCAUGUAUCCUUACAGACACUGCAUUUUCAACUUCUGUUUUAGUCCAAUGUUGUCGCAACUAACCUAGAAAUCCAAAAUCCGUAGUUUAGGUGUGUUUUGAUUGUUUGUAUCACUUCUGUUAUCGUAACUCUAUUUUCUGCUGAAUCAUUUCACGAGCAUUAGAGAUUGACUAUUUUUUUUUUCGUUAUGCGUACUAUAUGACGGCAGUGAAGAUGGUGUUGCGGCUGAAGUAUCUGCCACUCCAGUUCUUGGAGAGCCCAUGGAUCUAAUGACGGCUCUGCAACUGGUGAUGAAGAAAUCACUGGCGCACGAUGGGCUUAUUCGCGGGCUUCACGAAGCGGCCAAAGCGAUAGAGAAGCACGCCGCGCAGCUUUGUGUUCUCGCCGAGGAUUGCGACCAGCCCGAUUAUAUCAAGUUGGUCAAAGCCCUUUGUGCCGAUCACAAUGUGCAUUUGGUCACUGUGCCGAAUGCCAAAACUCUCGGCGAGUGGGCAGGGGUCAGUCACAUUAUUAAUAUCAAACUCCAACUUUAUUUUAUCGAAAUACUUAAAAGUCCAUCUGUGACUUUUCUUACCAUGCUUUUUCUGCUUAAAAUAAGACGAUGUAUUGAAUCGCAGCUCUGCAAAAUCGACUCGGAGGGAAAAGCGAGAAAAGUUGUAGGUUGUUCAUGUGUGGUGGUCAAGGUAAAGGAUUAUUUAGUCGUUUUUAGUAAUCCUUUUUGUUUGUUUUUUUUUUACUGUUGUGUGUGAUGUAGUUGUCUUAUGAUGUUAUAAUUUUCAGGAUUAUGGCGAGGAAUCGGAGGGCCUUAACGUCGUGCAGGAGUAUGUGAAGGCUCACUAAAAAAACUCUUGCAGCUUUUCACAAGCGAAUCGAACGCUAUGUUUUUCUUACAGUAUUCAGGGAAUGUUUAAUUUUUUUGAGACACCACAACUCAUUUAGAUUCUGGAAUGUCUGUUUUAGGUUGUGUGGAAACCAGUUAAUGUGGAUGGAUGGAUGGAUAUUUCUUGGUCUGCAAUUUGCUGUUAAUUUUUUUUAAGAAAAUUAGCAAUGAAUGAUCAGUCAUGUAAUGCUUGAUUUGGUAAAAUCUCUUCUUUUUUUUUUUCCCCCCUUUUUGCAUAAUUGAAGAUGACUAAAUAUCAUUUCAUUUGUCUCAAUUAUUUUGGGUUGAUUAGUUCUGGGAGAAACACAUUGCGGAAAAAUUCAGUCCAAAAUAAUGGUACCAUUAAUUAGAUUCAAUACCUGGUUGAUAUUGUUGCACAUGUUUGUCACCUCAACAAAGUCAUCAUAUAGAAAAAGUGAUAAGAUUAUGAAACUUUAACAUUUUAAAGUUUCAGAAUGUUCAAUUAAUAUAAUGUUUUCAAGAGAAUUUUUACAAGCUUUGUGUGCUUCUCGACAUUACACAUUACAAAAGAACAGAUACACACAAUAUCCCACACAAGUAUAUCAUAUGUAGAGUAUUCUAUAACAAUCAUCUACAGAGAGUUAGUAUCCAAACAUCUAUUAUCAUGAGGAACACAUUUAGGUUUUUAUCUCUCCACCAUAUAUAUAGAAAAGCAAAAAAAAAAAAUAAAUAAAAUAAAAUAAAAUCAAGAGUGAGAGAGGAGAUAAAAGAUUAUAAAUGUCCUCCAUUCAUCUCUCCUCUUUUUUCUCCUCUAUACCAGGUAAACAGACAACACAAGGAUUAUGGAUUCAUGGGACAUGGCGACACUAAGGGAGGCGCAACGACAAAUGCGUAAAACAAAGCUUUUAUUUUCCACUGUAGAUAAAGAUGCUCUUCCGAGUUCCUGUGUAAACCCUAGAUGAAGAUCACCAAAUCGCGUAGUAGCUUUUUCCGGCUGCCAUUAACCACAGCAAAACCACUUCCUCUGCAACCAAAUUCGAUAAUUAUUUAGAAAGAAUCUGUAAACUGGAAAGUUUAGGUAUAUCAUCACUGCAUAUUAGAAUAAUAAGCCCCUGCAAAAUUAUCUGUUUCCUUGGAGAAUCUGAAUGUUCAAGUUUGUCCUUCAAAAACUUAAUUUGUUACGUGCAUAUCCUUGAACGUAACAAAAGUAGCCCUCUUUAAAGAGCUUCUAAUAAAAGACCAUCCUCCCCCAUAAACUGAAGGACUUCCCACCUUAAGAUACCAGUCACUCGUAUGAAACCACACUUUCGAAGCGCAUAUCUUCACAUACAGACAAUACAGGGGUUUGUCUACAUCAAUUACCUUCUUUAGAUCACAUUAUAUAAUCACUUAUCUCGACAAUCACUUAUCCUCUUUAGAUCACAUUAUAUAAUCACUUAUCCUCUUUAGAUCACAUUAUAUAAUCACUUAUCCUCUGCAGCCCUAGAUCUUUUGAUCUGAUGGUGGUCUGUUUCCCCCACAAUUAAAAUAUGGCCAUAGGUGAUAAAUCUAGUCUAAAAGGAUGUAAGAAAUCUAUGCAUGCUUAAUGAUUUAAUAUAUUUUGCCAAAAGAAAAGAUCCUUGGAUGAUACAUGCUAAUGCAUGCUUUAUGAUGCUUAUGAAAUUUAUGCAUGAUCUAUGGCAAGGGGAAUAGUGAGAGGGCUUUUCUGACAAAAGUGCAACUUCCGGAUUCUUCUAAAUCAUUACACGACAAGCACUUCCUGCCAGCCAGUACCAGGUUAUAUUGGCCGGAAGAAAACCGUGCGUCAAGCGAUUUUGUUGGAAAAUGUGUAAAUAGAUGAUUUUGCAAGAAUAUAUAUGGAAAAACUCCUACAAUAAAUAGCUUGAAUUGCAAAUCAACUGAUUUUCAUAAGAUUGAAGUGAUUAUAUCUUAACAACUUAGAAUAGGAUCAUACGCUCUUUCUUGGGUAUUGGUAGCUCUCGUCGGGUUUUAGGCCGCCAACGUUGUUUCGUAACGGUGGUUGUGCCGAGGCCCCACCUUGGUUACUGCUUGUCUUCUUUUCGUCGCGAGCUUUCUGGAAGAUGACAGUGAAACCUUCAGCUGAUGCUGGAUUGUUCACAUCCCACUCUCCAAAUUUGGGCAGCGGUCGGCCCUUCUCCUGCUGCACAAAUUUGAAAAAGGAAAGGGGAAAAAAAAAACAGUACUUUAAGUUUAAGGCGAAACCAUGAAAGCAUCAAGUGUGAAGAAUAUGCAUGUAAAAAAGCAGAUAACUUGAUGCAAGCAACUACACACACAUUCUCUUUUUUUUUGGUUAUAAUGUUGCGAGGAAAAUAAACUAUCUAAUCGUUAUUUUCUCGGAGGAGUCGAUCAAGAAGAUAACCUUUCAGAAAGAAGAGCAAUUUAGCAGGAACAACUCAUAGCAGGAAUAACAGUUAAAUGUUUCUACGAGCUUUCUCUGCUAAAUUUCUCCUCGUUACGAGUAGUUCCUUUCUUCAACAAAUAUUUGUUCACUAAAACACGAAGUAACUAAAUCUUCUUCAUCUUACAACAUAGCUCAUGCUGCCCAUCUCAGUUUUAAUCAAUACAUUACUUAUGAAACUGUAGAAACUCCAAUAUUCGGUUUGGAACCUUAAAUCAGUAGAAAUAAAUAAACCAUGAAAAAAGCAGGGAAAAUAGCAUCUUAACUUCCUUCUACCUCUCCAUGGAAAACAAAAAAAAAUAACCCAAGCAUAUAUUCAACAAAAGAUUAAUGUGUAAAUCAAGAGGUAUAUCUGCUCCCAAUCUAAAAGGUGAGCAUCGCGCGAGAACAAAUUAAUAAUGGCAAUUGAAAAAUACCAUCCUCACUAUAUAACCCAUUAGAUAAUAGAUGAAUGAGAACAUAGGAACAUCAAAUUAAAUUUCAUCUCCUCAACAUUAACCGAAAACCACAAUAAAUUCAUACCCCCACCAAAAAAAAAUAGAGAAAAAAAUCCCAUCACUCUGUAAUCACAAUGCCUCAGAUCAAUGCUUCAUACGCAUCAAAUUAUCCGUAACACAAUUGAUUGUUUUCCCAAGGCUAAAAAGAAACAGGAACAACCAAAAAGGAAAAUCCCCAGUAGUCCAUUUCCACACAAAAAUUAGAAACUACUCUUAAACCAUUCCCACCGCAUUCCCACAAACUCCAAGCUCGGUAUCAAAAGACCCAAUUCGCAAAAUCGUGUCUUUAAUCAACAAAAAUGGAGAUCAACCCCUAAGCCCCGCAAAAUCGUAUAUUUACUCCAAAACACACUCCAAUUGCCAAAACAAAAACAAAAACCACCCCCCUAAACCAUUCCGAACAAUUACGUAAACCCAAUUCGUAUCUUUAAUCCAAAAAAAAAAAAAAACACUCAUCAAUUCCGAAACAAACCAGAAGCCACCCUCCUACCCUACGCCGCUCCGAAAACCCAAUUCCCACGACCUCCGCACUCAAAUCGAAAGACCCAAUUCCCAAAACCGCAACUUCAAUGGAUCCACCCACUUUCCGAGCAAAAUAAAGCACGAACUAGGUCGUUCGAGAUAGAAUCAAGGAGCGAAGCAGAGAAAGGGCGAUUACCGACGCCAUGAUCGACGCGAGGCGACGCUCCGAAGCCCAAGUACCACGACAAUGGGAGGAGAGAGAGAGAGAGAGAGAGAGAGAGAGAGAGAGAGAGAGAGAGGAGCGGGUGCGAGAGAAUGGGGGGAGAGGGAAAAAAAAAGGGGCUCGGGGGAGAAGCGUCGUCCGUUUAAUCGCCGCGUGCCCACCGCAGAAUAACGGUGUGUCUGUUUCCUUCAUUCCUCUUCUGUUUCUCACACAUUCCCCGCUUAUGCGUACCCAAUAAUAACACUAACUACCCCCGUUACUACCCCAAACCUAUAAAUAAAUGAGUGAGGCUGGUAUGCCUGCCAAAGUACCGAGCUCUUCGUUCUUUCAAGUCAUUUUCGAUGUUGGGACUUUCGAAUCGACGAUCGGCUCCGUUAAAUUUGAUUUACAGCAUUUGAAGUACCUAAAAAAUAAAUUUCGUAGUUUUUUGAUAUCAUUCGCCUAGUGAUCGAAUGGCCUCAAAAUCAAUAAUUUUAAUAAUUGUGGGUAGCUGUUUGCAAGUUUAACAGUGUAAAAAUAUUCAAAUUACGUAAAAUUUUGAUAAAUUUUUUUUCAUACUAUAUAAAAUAAUAUCAAUAUCUUUGAUAUAAAAUUUUAAUAUCAUAUCAUUAUAUUUUGAAAUAUUUUUUAUUUUUAGCCGUUGAUUUUUAUCUUUUGAUAAGUAGGCAAAUAGUAUAAAAAAUUUGUGAAAUUUAUUUUCUAGGUACUUCAAAUACUCUAGAUUUAGUCUAACGGAGCUGAUCGUCGAUUCGAAAGUCCUAACAUUAAAAAUAAUUUAGAAGUACGGAGGGCUCCGUACUUCAAAAAGCAUACCAACCUCACUCUAAAUAAAUAAUGCAAUAAUAAUAUAUGUAAGAUCCAAAAAAAUAAUUGCAUGCCAGUUUUUGUAAACAUAUCAAAUAACAGAUAUAUCCCUUCAAAUUUUAAUUUUUUAUUUUUAUCCCUAUAAAAACUUUAAUAUUUUCAAAUAUGUUCAUGAUAUUAGAAUCCGUUAGAAAAAUAUUAUCAGCCAUGAGUAAAAUAUUAAUUCUUUUUACCUCUCUUAUAUUAUUGGGUAAAAUAUUUUUUGAGAGGAUACUUUUGUAUAAUUUUUAUUGUUGGAAUUUUUAGAGGAAUAGAUUUUAUAAGGACAAAAAUAUUAUUUAACUUAUCUGUUGUUAAAAAAAUAAAUAAUAUUCUAAUGGUAAUAAACUAGAGGGGGUAACUAUGAAUAUCACCCGACUUUUAUAGAAAUAAAAAUAAAAAAUUAAACUUUAUUGGGAUAUUUUUACUAUCCGAU